Molecule: long non-coding RNA, 61433 nt
Filed under: Selaginella moellendorffii
Lineage: Eukaryota; Viridiplantae; Streptophyta; Lycopodiopsida; Selaginellales; Selaginellaceae
Description: long non-coding RNA (SMOE_LNC001385)
Source: RNAcentral
AGCGAGAGAGAUGCGGGAGCAUCGACGUCAGGAUGCAUUUACGAGGGUGAUGCUGAUGUCUGGAGAUCACAAAGAGCAAAAACACGGAGAGGCGAAAAAAAAAUGGGCGAAACAACGAUCUCGCCAUGGACUUUGUGAGUGAUUACUUCCAUUCAUUCCACUUUUGUUCUAACUCUCUCUGUUCUUCCACUCCAGGAACGCGAAAGUAGGAGACCCAGCACCGAAAGAAAGGAAAAACUUCGCGAUCAGUUACAACCGCAUCCCCUUAAGUCGUCUGCAAGCUCUGGACAAAUUCUGGGUGGUCUUGGCGGGAUUUGCAGCAUUUCCUUUCGCUCAUCCUGGCCGUCGAAUCCAUCCGACGGCAGCCAGCCGAGCACACUUGUCCUAUAGAGAAGGUGCUGUAAGGUUUUUUUUGUUUUUUUUUUUUGGUCCUUGUGAAUUUUAUUUUUUUUUUGUGUUUACGUGCUUGCUCUGCAGACAUGGUUGGUGCCAUUGCUGCCUAGCAAGUUGUUCGCCGGUCACCUCAAGAACAGGCUUUUGCUCGCUCCUUUUCUCGGCUCUUCCAACUUUUUUCUAAGUGGAAGAGCACUUUGAUCCGGAAGCGCCAGUAAUCUAAUCGCUAGCUCCAAUGCUGCCACGGAGUUUUCUAUCAAUCCAUCGCGAGAGGGGUGUGUUUGGCGCUUUCGAUAGCUCACGUCUGGCUAGCCAAGGAGCGCGAGUUUUUUUUGGAGAUCAUGGAUAGAAUUCACAAAGAGUGUUAUUUACCUGUGGAAUGGAGAGUACAAAUUUUUCUUUUCUUUACACGAGAGCGAGGAGGAGAAACACAAAUGCUGCACGCUCGAGAGAAUCGAGAGUGUUAUUUGGAGGGCGCUAUCCUCUGAUCGAGAGAACCAAGCGAUAGAACCAAAAAGAAAACGUUGGGAAGAACUACAACGAGAAAACGAGAAAAGGGGAAAAAACUGCUCACAACUUCCACAAACCUGGGGAAAAUGCUGCCUCGCCUACAAACAAUCUUAUGGAGGAAUCGAGAUCGCCAAAUGGAAGGAGGAGGAAGGAAUCCAGCGGAAAGAAAGAAAGAAGUCCAAGGAAGAACGACGAAGAACUCUUCUCCUCCCCGCUUUUGUGCUGCUGCUACUUAUACUAGACCAGUGAAAAAGAAUAAAAAUCCCUCCUUUCGCUCCAAUCCACCCCUCCCCAUUCCAUUUGGGCGAUUCCCUCUUCUCCCAUGCUCCAAUCUAGUAGGUCUUGUAUGGAUCCUCUGCGAGGAGCUGCCUGGUGGUGGCAUCCAUCUUCAAUCCCAGAUCCAUGACGUGCUGCUGCUCCGCGAGGGAGAGAUCAUCCAUCUCCAUCGCCGAAGACAUGGCCCCUGCUCCAAUUCGUGCUCCCUGCGCUGCCAUGGGCAUCGCCGCCGCGAUGACAAUGCCAAUCAGCAGCACCAGCGCUGAGAUCUUCCUGAGAAUCGCCUGCAAUGCCAUCGCGCCGAAGAGAUUUCGCUGCGGGCUGGAAAGAAAUUCUUCCCUCACUCUCUCGCACAGAGCUCUCUCUCUCUCUCCCUGGCGAAAUAGGGUAAGCCCAGGGCCGGGUAUUUAUCUUCUGCAAUUACUCCACGUCGAAGAAAUUACCCAGUCCCUCCCUGGGCCGGGGAUUUUCUUCACACACGCUGAGACACGCUCUUUGUUUUUACGUGGGGUAAGUCGCGAAGUCCCGCCAUUGGGCCAGCUGUCAAAGUCUCCUACUGUAACGUAGUUAUAUGUGUAACUACCAUUUUAGGUCAUCUUUUACGUUACAUUCUACGGAAUAUUUCCCUGCAUGACGACGGCUGAUCUCAGCCGUGGGUUCCUUAGCGUACGGCAGGCGUACGAAGGGGAUAUUCUUGGGGCAUAUGCUGAUCCCACGGCGGUCGCUGUGAUGGAGAUGGUUGUUGCGCCGGCUACGUGCCACGAUGGGAACGACGCAACAACGCAAAGUUUUAAUUUUUGUGCGACAACGCGUCUAUUUUUUUUUUUGGUACUUAGUUCUUUUCUAUUUGGAGUUCUUUUCUUUGGGUUUUUAUUCGCUACAACGUGUUUCCAAUGGGGACAGCAAUGCUUAACUUCAGUGUUUAUGGACGAGCUUGGGAAUUCUGUGUUGGCCUUUUCCUGGAGGGUUGGGCCUUGUCUAUAAUGAGUGAUUUCUUUGGUUGAGACGUGUGUUUGGAGACCUGGCGGUGGUACAAGGAACCCUAAAAAAUUCCUGGAUCUUGGAGCUUUCUAGAAACUUUUGGAUGGACCAAUUCAAAGCUCUCCCCUUUUCUUAAUUCGUAGAAACCCUAAUAGGAGGAACCCUAAAGCUAGCAUUUGCAUUUUUCCUAUCCUACAUUUGAUCAGGCUCUCUGCAGGGAAUGUCAUGAGCUACCAUCGAUCAAUCAACCCUCGGUCAGUACUGGAGGAACAUCCACUUCAAGAGAAUGCCUGUCGAAAAGCUCAAAGAACAACCAACCGAUCGAUCUCUCGAUCGCGAGAAAAGCGAGAAAAAGCUAACCUUCCCAGCGCGUCGCCUCGGAGCUCACCGCGAUCCCGGUCACCAGUCGCGCCGCCGCCGUGGCGCUGUGCUUGGGCACCAUGGACGAAAUCCCCCUGUGGAUCCUGGAAACAAAAUCUCCUUUGUGCUCGAUCGAUCGAAUCCAUGCACUGGAAAUUCACCUGAUCCUGGCGCUCGCCUGCCCCUCCGGCGAUGGGAUCGCGAUCGAUCGCCGCAGUGGCCGCGCGCCUGGAAUCCCGAGCUGGGGAAGCCUCCUCAAUUCUAGCCGCCUCAUCACUCUUGCCGCCAUCGCUUUUCUUCUAUAGAGCUUAUAAACCCUAGGGUUUUAGACUAGGGCUAUGGCAGCGGCCAAUGUAGGUCGCAUGGCGGGGCGCUUCGCCUUCCGCGCUCGCGCUGCCAGGCCGCAAUUCCAUCCCAGGUCCUCCGGCGCCCAACCGCAGUACCAGUUCCAUCGAUCGUUGCCUCGAUCGUUCGAAGAAGCUCGAAUCAAGACCAGGUAUACAUUUAUUUCUCUUCUGGCAUUCUUUCGAUCGAAUUGCCAGGCUUCGUCGGGAGCUCGUGUCGCUGUUUCCUUUGCACAAUGCCACGGCCUCGUCCAGGCUCGUCUCGCUGAUUUCCGGUGGAUCCAAGAGCCUAGAAUGUAAGGAAAAUUCUUUCUUUGUCUUUGUUUGCUAUGAAGCUUGCUUGCAUUGUUGUUUGUUUCUUCCCUUCGGAUCUGGGGGUGGUCUCUCGCGCUUUCUUGCGGCAUUUUUUUUUUUUUUUUUCAUGCGCGUUUUCGGGUUGCAGGCAUUUUCUUGAAGUGGGUGUCUCUCGAUAAUUUCAGGCCGCUGCUACAGUCGAGGGGACGAUGAUGGCUGAGUCUCUCAGAAUUUAGCACACUAUCCUUGGAGUCCAUCGUCCGUUGUCACAGAUGAAUCUGUGGCUUUAAUUUCCGUGUUUUUUCUUUCCUGUUCUUGUCUUCCCUGAGCUAUGAUCACCAGCUAGAGGUACCUGUAUCAACCCAGGUUUUCAGGCAAAACGAAUUUUUUCAUUUCGUCGAGCUUUUCUAGUGCCUUUGUAUUUCCCUGUUUCUGGAUGGUGGUUCAUGUGUUGUGUUUCUCUACCCAGGUUGGCUCCAGCACUGCCUAAGGUCUCCGAAAAGCGUAGCGUCAGAACCGUCACGAGAGCAGUGUUUUGAAGCAUCAAGGUUCUCUCUUCUUUUCAUUUCGUUGUUCUUUCGCUUCUUUUCCAUGGCAUGUUUUACUGGUCUCUUCCUGCCAGGUGAUGCUAUUGAAUUCUUGAGGUGCGUGGAUAGUCUUCUUUGCUUGUUGACAAGAUUGGCGAGAGUUUAUCAUCGCGAAUAACAAGAGCUUUUUCUUCAGUGUUAUCUCUCGGCCAGUCGGCAUUAAGUUCCCAGUCAGAAACGAUAAGAGAGGGUGUGGGGUUUAGACGUGUUUUGGCUAUGGCUGCGAGAUUGGUGGUAGCAGGGCGAGUAGCAGCUCCUCCCGCCCGACUACUUUCGCCCUCUCCUCGCGUCCAUCGAGCUACAUUCGUCACAACGUCCCGCUCUUCUGGUGGUUUUCAUUUGGAGCAGGAUGGAUUAUCCUCUUCCAGCUCACGGUCUUCUUGCUUUUCCUCCUUCCAGUUCCUGUUUCUCGGUCUCUCACGAAAAAGCUUGUUUGUCCUUCCAGGUCUGCUGUACCUUUGUCCCCUGUCCCCAAGAAACGUAAUGCUACGAGGAUUUCGCUGGGAGCAGCAGUGCUUCGCAACUUUCAAGGUUUUGCUCGCUGUAAAUGCCUCGGUGAGGCAUUUUAAAGAGUGUCUAGCUAAAAGUUCGAGUUUUUCUCCAGCAGGAUUCGAGCAUUUCAGCCGUCUCAAGGAUGAUGGGUGAUGUAGUAAGAUUGAUUCGUUUCUCAUUUACUCACUGUGUGCUCUUACAGUUGAGAAGAAGAACAAGAAGCUAUGGAGGAUGCCAAUCUCUUGACUUGUAGCACGGUCACGGUUUGACGAAAUUUGAGCUCUUUUUCUUUUUGUUCUACUGAGGGUUUGAUAGGGUUUUGUAGCUUAGGAAUGCAGAGGAUUUCCAGUCCAGACGUAAGGAGCUCCCAACAGCGCACGCUCGAGAGACUGGAAAAAGCCAAGAGGAUUUUCAUUCUGGUGUCCGAAUUGAAGGCUUGCAGCAGCUCUAAGGACUUGGACAGAGGUAGGAAAAUCCAUGCCCGAGCUGUAGCAACUGGAGAGAGCUCCAACAUCUACGCAGCGACAACUCUCAUCAACAUGUACUGCAAAUGUGGAAGCCUGGUGGACGCUCGCAGCGUGUUUGACAGAAUGCCACUUUGCAACGCCGUGGCAUGGACUGCUCUCAUGCUGGGUUAUGCGGAGAACAGCUUGGAGGAACAGGCCUUGGAACUCUUCUCCGCUAUGCAGUCGCGGACAUUUAGCUGCGUCCCUGACUCGCGCACCUUCGUGGUGGCUCUCAAGGCGUGUGUUGGACUGGCAACGAAGGAAGCUGUCCAGGACAUCAACGGGAAGCUUGUGAAGAUGAAGUCACUGGAGAAAGGAAUGGCUGUUCACCACCAAGCCGUAAGAGUAUUACAGGGAGCUUUAGCUAUAGCACAAGAUAUCUACCUGGGAAGUGCGCUCGUCAACUUUUACGCAAGAUGUGGGGACUUGAGCAGCGCUAGCAGAGUUUUCGACGAGAUGUCGAGCCGGAAUGCUGUCGCCUGGAACGCUCUGAUGCUCGGGUAUACGGAGAGUGGCGAUUCGGAGCGGGCUUUGGAGCUGCUGGAACGGAUGCUGGGCGAGGGUUGCACUCCCAACGCCAGGAACUUCGUGGCGGCGUUGAAGGCCUGCUCGAGUUUGGCCGGGGACGAGGCUGGCAGCAAAGUCGAUGGGAAACUCGUCAAGGUGGUGUGCUUGGAAAAAGGCGUGGCCGUGCACUCGCAGGCCGUCAAGUAUGGCUGCGAGGCGGACAUCUUCGUCGGGAGCACGCUGGUGGACGUCUACUCCAAGUGUGGAAGCCUCCUCGACUCUUGGAGAGCUUUCGAGCGAAUGCCGAGGCGGAACGCGGUGUCGUGGAACUCACUGAUGCUGGGGUAUGCCGAGAACGGGGAGCCGGAAGCAGCACUCGAUUUGUUUGUCCGCAUGGCCAACGAAGAAGACGAAGCUAGUCCAGACGAUCGAAGCUACGUUGCCGCGCUCAAAGCCUGCGUUAUUCUGGCAGCCAAGGAAGAGGAAGGCCGCGGAGAGAAGCUGGUGAAGGUGGCAGCGCUCGAGAAAGGGAUGGCUAUUCACGCUCGAGCUGCGAGUAAGCACUUCGAACGGGAUAUCUUCGUCGCCAACAUGCUCGUGGACAUGUACUUCAAGUGUGGAAGUAUGGCGGACGCUUCCCGAGUCUUCGGCAGGAUAGAGAAUCCGACAGUGGUUUCCUGGACGUCGUUGAUACUGGGAUACAUCGACAACGGCGAAGGAGCUCUGGCUCUCAGGCUCUUCGAUCAGAUGCAAGCUCGGGGUUGCCGGCCGAGUGCUCAGACUUUCGUGGCCGCGAUGAGAGCUUGCACUUGCGAGGCUUCGAAAGAAGGUGGCGAUGGGAAGCUUGUCAAGAAGAAACAGUGGCUGCAGCGCGGGAUGGCCGUCCACGAUCAGGCAGUAAAGCGGGGACUGGAAUCCAACAUCUUCGUGGCAAGCGCAGCGGUGGAUCUCUGCUCCAAGUGUGGCAGCAUGGACAACGCCCGGAAGAUCUUCGAGCAAAGUCCCUCGAGCCACGGUUUGGCCUCGUGGAACGCACUGAUGCUCGGCUACGUGGAGAACGGCGACGCAGCAUCGGCACUCGGCUUGUUCUCGCGGCUCCAGCGGCAGAAAAACUCGUGGAGCUCGUCACCCAACGCUAGAACUUACGCUGCUGCGCUCAAGGCCUGUGGAGCUCUCGGUCUUCUCAGCUCAACCAAGCUCGUCCACGCGGAGAUCUGCCGCUGCGGAGCCUCGUCCGACGCAGUGCUGGCCAACUCGCUCGUCGACGCCUACGGCAAGUGCGGCGGCCUCGACCACGCGCAGCAAGCUUUCGACUCCAUCGCCAGCCCGGACGCCAUCACCUGGAACGCGCUCAUCACGUCUUACAGCUCCCAGGGAGACACCAACCGAGUUUUCCAGCUCCUGGGCGAGAUGCUAGGCCGGGGAUGGGAGCCGAGCGCCGUGACUUACACCUCGCUGCUCAUCGCGUGUAGCCGCGGGGGUCUGGUGGAUCGGUGUUGGAAGUUCUUCCGGGAGAUGGAGUCCAAGCACGGGGUGGCUCCUCGCAUCGAGCACUACCACUGCGUGAUGGACACACUGGGGCGAGCCAACCGGGUGGAGGAGGCGGUGAGGCUGGCGGAGGAGAUGCCGUUUGAGCCGAGUGGAGUGACUUGGACGACGGUGUUGAGCGCUUGCGAGAGCGUGGAGGCCGGGAGGGGCGCGUUUGGAUCGUUGCUCGGGAUGGAGGAGGCGGACAGGAAGGCUGGCUGCGCUCUCAUGUCCAACUUGUGUAGUAGUAAAAUCUAAGUCACACGUCCUUUUAAAUAGCUGAUAACUAAAAGCUUUUCACUCUCUGAAGCUCGUAUCGUUUAAUGGUAGCAAUAUAAUAAUUUUUUUAAAUGUAGAAUUGUGUAGUUAUAAGAUUAAAAGAAGUGGUCUUCAUCCAGUUGGUAGAGGUACAAUCAGCAAAAACCAUGAGACCUAAAAUUUGAUAAAGCUCAUCACGGAUAUGUUAGUCCAGUAACUUCAAGACUUGGGCUUUUUCUUUGCAGGAGGUUCUUCUUCCACCAUCGUCUUCUUAGCAGCCUCAAUCCAUCGCAAGGCACCACCCGAGAGGCGCCAGUGGCGCUCGUGCUUCAAAAUCCACAGGACUCAAAUCCCAGGCCUUCCAAACGCCAUCUUCAUCGCCCGGGCUUCCAUCACCUCUGCCUCCAUCGCAUCCCUGUAGCUGUGGCCUCUGCGCCCCCUUUAAUGGUGCCAUGCAAGAGUUCGGCGUCCGCUCGCUUCAACACAGAGCUCACUCCUGGGAAAGAAGUUAUGCAGCACGGCUCCUUGUCCACGGGGGAGCACGGCAGCAAGAAGUACUGGAAUGAUCUGAGCAGCUUUGGCUUUUCUGUCUUCGUCUUAAAGUCCAGAGGAUCCCAGCACUAGAUGAAGUCGUGGCACGCAUCAGCGCAAAGUCGCAGCCCUCGUCCCUGGAUAUGUUUUUCAGAUUGUACCGUGGCUUGUCUGCCAUAUCGAAGUGCUCUGGUCGGACAAAAUCUCCAUUCAGGCACCGGGUACACGACUUGGUCACACGAGCAGAUGUAAGGAAGAAGUGGGGGCUGAGUGCUAUGCCACUGCCAAAGCUAACGAUCCCACUCUCAUGUGUUGCACGAAUGGCCUCCUUGAGUAUAGCUGGUUUUCCAUACACUGAGCUGCCCAAUCUGGGUGGAUCACCCGCUGGGAAGAUAACCGUGCCCGAUUCAAAGUCGACGCCCAGAAUUCUAUUGAACUUACCUUUCCUAGAUGGAUCUGUCUCCUUGACCGCUAAAGUUUCUAAAACCUUCUCUUGAAGUUUUGCCUGUUCUCGGCCAAUAGCCGAAUCUAUAGGUGCAUAGUAAAUAACAUAAGGCUCCCCACGAACAAGGCUCUUCCAUAACAAACCCUAGCAGGAAUUAGACCUUCCUUUUAUAGCUGUGUGCGGGUAAAGGUUUACCUCCUUAACCAGCCCAUUAUGAUAAACCUGAGACGAGAGUCGGCGUCGAAGUUUUGCAGGAGCUGGUCUUCCUGAGCUCUACGCGAUGGGGAUCCAGGUCCGCGCCGAGCUGCCAUGGAAGAAGUCGAAUAGAGGAGUGUGGAGUGCGUGUCCGAGCUUGUGCUGCUUCCGCCAGCUUCUCAUUUGAGAGAGCUUGAUUUAGCAUUCAUUCAGUCUAGUUGUCUCUGGCUUUUGAGGAGUUGAAUUUGAGGGCGCAAUAGUAAUAGGGGCUCGUUUGAAGAUUGUUCCACCUGAAGAAGACAAGGCAGCGGCAACUCCAGCACAAUAAUCUCUCGGAUCCUCUCUCCCGAAGGGCUUCAAGUGAAGAAGUGUGUUUCGUUCCAGGAAAACCAGACUUUCUUUUCCAGCUUUGGUUGACACGACCGAGGUGGCGGACACGAGCAACGUUUUUUAUAUGAAAAAAAUCAUACCAUUGAAGAAGGGAGAGAGAUUCGUCAGGACAUUCCCUUAAAGAGGAAGAAAAUUUCUCCUUAAUAAGGGUAGGAAUGGAACGCAGUAGGGUUUGCAAUGCGGGAGCCUUUCGGGUAUGUCUGUGAUCUGCCUUAUUAUGUAACUCCUAGUAUCCAGCAGAUGUGUCGAGAAGAACAAAAGCUCCUGAAAGAGGUUUCAGGAGAGGUAGCAGUGAAUCUAGGAAGGGAAAGUUUAGUAGAGUUUUGGCGGUUGACUAUGAAUCAGGCACUGUUAUUUUCCCGAAGGAUGAUCUUCUAGUUCUACAAGCCCAAGCUGGUCAGUAUAUGGAAGGAAUCCAACUAUACUCAAGGAAGCCAUUCGCGCAACACACAGGCUCCAAAGUGUGGAUGAGGGUAGGAUGGUUCACUUCGGCAGUGGCGUGGCGCUCAGCCCGCAGUUCCUCCUUACAUCUGCUCGUAUGGCCAAGUCGUCUACCCAGUGCCUGAAUGGCGAUUUUGUGCGAUCAGAGCACUUCGAUAUGGCAGAGAAGCCACGGUACAAUCUGGAAACUGUAUCCAGGGACGAAGGCUGUGAUAUGGUGCUGAUGCGUGUCAAGACUUCAAGCGCUGGCGCGACUCUAGAGAAGGCAAAGCUGCUCAAGUCUUUCCAGUACUUCCUGCUGCCAUGCUCCCCAGUGGACAAGGCGCCAUGCUGCAUAACUUCCUUCCCGGGUGUGAGCUCCCUGUUGAUGCGAGCGGACGCAGACCUCUUGCACGGCAUCAUUCAUGGAGGUACUGAGGCUAGUCUCGGGGGCAUUUACAGGGAUGCGAUGGAGGCAGAGGCGAUGCAAGUUCGAGCCAUGCAUCAGUACAAGCCAUAACGUUCGUAGAUCAUUACCAAAUCUCGUCAAGUUCCACUGAUUCGAGGCCGGGAUGCGACGCACUUGAUUUUCUUGGGACGGUAACUCAUUCUUUUGUCUUUGCUGUUCUUUGUCCGUAUCAGUCAGUGAGUGACGCAAGACCAGAAAUCUGGCGAAAGCCACGGUAUGCCCCAUCGGGCGCCACGGAGACCAUAAAAUCUUUUCUUCUUCUUCUUUGUCUCGUUUUUCUUUUUUUUACACUUAAACUUAUUCUUUGCAGGCUCCUUCCCGCGCUCUUUUACAACAACGUUUUGGCUAGCAUGCCCCACUGUAUAAAAAUCUGUAUGUUCGUGAUUGGACAUCUCCAGAUCGUGUAGAUGUAUGGCUCCUUGCCUAAGCUCAAUAUUGAGCUCAAUCGAAGCUAUUGUGGAGACAAUAUCCUGUCAAGAGAACAGUCUCUAUAACUUUUACCAGGCUUGGAACUUAAAGGAAGAGAGAAAAAGGUUUCCUGGGAUUUUAGAAUCUUUCACGUAUCAAUUAUCGCAGGAAAAUUUCUUUCGUUUAGUCAUGUAACAUGACUAAACCUCUGGGCUUUCCUCUCUAGUGAGAUUCAGGAAGAACGAUAACAGUGGCUUAUGUUCUUUCCUAGCAGGUUGUAGAUCAAACAGAUUCAAGUAGAGCAGUAGCCUCAAGGAGUCUUCAUUCGCAGCAAGCGUAUGUUUGAUUUUUCUUAGAAUAUUUCUCAUUGUGGCAUUUUUGGUCUAGAUAGUGGAUCUACGUAGAAAGCUUCAUCUCACAUUGCAAAUUGCAACAUCAAGUAACACCAUUUCGAUUUCCUUUUACCAUGCCAGUUGGUUUUCUGGUGUUCUUUUUCCAAUCACAGCAAACAAAAUGAAACAGAACGAAAGCUAGAGCUCCAUAAAAAAUCAAGCGUACUCGAUGCUAGCCCCCUUGAACGUGAAGACUUUCUCCUUGUCCUUCCCGCGCGGCACCAGAGUGACAACGAGCUUGUCCGCGUCCUUCAAGCCCAAGAUCUCGACGUUGGGCUUGAUGGAGAAGCGGGCGUUGGUGGUCCGAGUGCUCGACUCGGUCAUCCCGGGCAUGAAGUGGGGGAUGUUGUAGAAAGAGCCAACGUACUCGGCGCAGGAGAGCGUUGUGGUCUCGUUGGCCUCAGGGAGAUUGAUGAACACGUUGAAGUUAGUGUUAUUCUGCAUCCCAACCACCAUCUCUUCCAGGACCAGGAGCUCGUCCGAAGCGCUGCCUUUGGGCUGCGCCACCGUGAUCGUCAGCGGGCCCGCUCCAACCUUGACAGGCUCGGCGUUCUGGGACGAGGAUUUCACGAGUGGAUACUCAGCCGCCAUAGCAGUAGCUCCAGGAACCAACGAAGCAACGAUCGAACUCUUGGGCUGCGCGAAGGCCGUCUUUGCGAGCGGCAGUGGCUUGUAGUUGAUCCAGACCUUGUCCUGGGGCAUGGACGCGUACUUGUACUUGAGCUUCGUCUGGUUGUCGAUGGAAUCUUUCACCUUGACGCGAACGAGGUCCUGGUUCUCAUCGAAGAAGAGGAACUCGGUGUUGAGGUAGUCGGCGUCCGUGAAGUCCUGGUUUCCCAGGGACCUCCACACGUCCCACAUCCUGUCCACGUUACCGUGGUGGCAGUAGAAGAGUGGAUCCUUCCCGGCAGAGUAGAAGUUGCCCAGGUCCUCGCCAUUGGGGUUAUUGGGGCUGCCGCCAAAGAUGUGCACGGCCGUGUGUGGGGCUUUCUCCAGAGAUCCAUCGGCACCGUUAUUGUUCCCUUUCCUGCAUAAGACAUGGCUCCGUCACCUUUUUCUGGCCAUGCACACGUACCUUAUGGGAGCGCCGAAGAAGGCGUCCCGGAGCUUGACCUUAGCGACGUUGUUGUACAUGACGGAGAUGUUGUCCUGGCGGAUCUGAUCGUCGGUCUUGUAGGUGGGCUCGCCGAAGCUGGGGUCGACGCCGGGCGCGUAGCCGAGAUCCACUCGCGCGGGCGCGUAGUUUGCCUCGUUGCGAUUGGCGUCGAAGAUGGGGGUGCCCUCGCGCCGAAACAUCUCCGGGAUGUAGCUCCCCCCCUCCUGGUUGUCCCAGUUCCAAAACGGCAGCGCGAAGGUUGGAUCGUUGAUCAAGCUGCCCAGGAUCUUCUCGUGGUAGUAGAGGUACCAGCGGUGCCACGGCAGGAAGAGCCAGUUGAAGUGGAUCUGGAGCGUUGACUUUGGAUCGCCCUCCUGGCGGUAGCCGAAGUUGCAGUAGACGCAGUGGACGUUUGCCUGCUGCCGGAAGCUCCGGGGAUCAUCCGAGGGAAGCGCGCGCAUCUUGGCGUAGGCCUCGUUGUACUUCUGGAUGUAGUCCUCGUCCACGAGAUGGGCGGCGGGGCGGGUGCGCAUGGGGCCGGUGUCGGGCUUGAAGUCGAUGGUGUCGCGCUUGGGCUUGGGCGGGCAGCACGCCACGAAGGUGUUGGUGUUGGCGAUGUUGGCGGGCUGGCAGCGCUUGAAGGUGGGAGAUCCCACGGGCUCGGCGAGCGCGGGACCAGUAGGGGACGCUGCGAGCGAAGCUCCGCCGGCGAUUGUUCCCGCCAGGAGCUCGCGGCGAUCGAUGAUCGAGGCCGGAGUGGAGCUACCUUUCUUGGAGGGGAAAGAGGGAUUACCAGACUCCCCUGUUGCUGCAUUGGCUUCUUUCCUGGCAUUGGCGGUGAUCUUGAGCGUACCCCGGGAGCGAUUGGGCAGAAGUGGGCAUCGGCUCCGGUGCUGGAGCUUGACGCGAUCGAGCGAGAGUGCCGCGGAAGACAUGCCCAGCAGCGAAUCCAUGCUGGAUGAGAGAUUCCAAACCUCGACUGACGACGUCGUAGGAAGCGUACCUUUUUAAAGGACGAACAAGCUCACAUGACUCUCGUGGGAGUAGUGGCGAUAAUAUUUCAGACCAAAGUGAUCGGACUUUGAUCCACGAGAACCCCGUGUCUCUUAGAAUUCUUAUCAAAACUGCCACGUCAUUGCAGCCUUUAGUAGGGUUACCGUCUUUUCAGGAGACGAGCAAAGAUAUGCUUGAAACAGCAGUGAAUGAGGGGAAUUCGUAAUUGGCGUAAGUUUAUUUGAUAUCCAUCUGCACGGUAGCAUUUCCACGGUACGGCCCAGCUUGUUCUCUGAUUCCGUUCGCUUUGAACUGUAGUUGCCACUUUCUUGAACAAGCCAUGUAAAGCUUUUAGCAGAACAUCGCCACAAGGUAAACACUUAAAUUACCUUCGCCUUUGAUAGGCUAGGUUGUGUUCGAAGUGUUUUUUGAGCCGCUGCUCACCCACCUUUUAAACGGGUCGAUUGCCACAUUCAUGGAAAUCCGGACAUUAGUCGUCACCUUCGCCUACAACAUUCGAGGUACGUGCUGAAUGAAUCUCACGCUUGACUGUUCGAUUUGUGAGAGCUUAAGGAGCUCCGGGAAAGCACCAAAGGUACAAACAAGAGCCGAGGGGAGGGAGUUGGCCAGGCGUUUCCUAGGCUUGGGUUUCGUAGCAGUUUGAUCGAUCAUGUGGUGUAGCUCGCACCAGUGUCGUCAUGCAUAUACCACGCCCCGUUACUGUGGAUCAUAAAAGAAAGCUCGAACUAAAGAGAAGGAAAAACAGAGAACACGAACUCGAGUUGGCCGGGCGACGACUUCGUUCCUGCCACCUUAACGGAAAAGGGACGUCGAGGGGGCUAGGGCUUGAUCCAAGGUGACCACUCUGACCGUACGCCUGGAUCAUCGAGUUCCAGGACCUCUCGGCAUUCGAUCAAAUACUCUCCUAGCGUCCUCCAGGUGACCGCUCUCAGCGUACACUGCGAUCAUUGCGUUCCACGGGUUUGUGUAGCAGCCUUGCUUCUCGCUCCUCCCUGCUCCGACCAAAGAUCAUGGAGUUCCAAGACGUGACAUCCGCCAAAACGCCAGCUUGGCAUCGCUGAUAUGCCGGGCAUGGGCAUAUCCCGUCCAAGAGAUGAUAAUCUUCCAAGGCAUUUGAUCAGAAAUUCCCUUGGCUUCCUCCGCAGAUUGACACUGCACGCAAGCCAGAAUUGCUGCACCAAGUCCCGGCAAGGCACUUUUUCAAAGACCCUGAUACAAUCCUCUUGGUGCCCAGAUUGGGCAUAAGCUGCUGAUCUUGUGUUCCACGAUGUUAUAUCCCUUCUCGGAAUUUCUGGGAAGAGGCUCAAAGCUACCCCACAUGACCGUCUAUCCAUACGCUACUCGUAUGGUCGUCCUCGCCACGGCAUCCUUGUGAGAAAUCCAUCAAACAGCCUUCUCGCUAGAACCAUAUACCUGUUGUGGGAAUACGCUGCUACCAUGGUCGUCAAAGAAACGCCGUCUUUCGGUGGCAUCUGAUCGCAUCACAGCCUUGCAGUGUGAUACUAUCCAGCGGUGUAAUACGCGGUGAUAAUAGAUGCCCAUGAUGCCAAUCCCAAAACGGCAUUCUAUCAAAGAGCCACUGUGAUCGAUCGAUAUGCCGAAGCUGGGCAUUUUCUUAGACCAAAACGUUCCAGGAUACUUGAUCCUUCUCUAGAACAGCGAUGGCGUGCAAUAGUUCUUCUUCGCUUUCAGGAACUAUAGAGCGUCUUAUCGUGAUGUUUCUCCUCAAGAUCAUACAUUGCAACCAAUGAUGAUCCCACGCUCUGAGACGCGCUUGGCAUGGCCACCGGUAGAUCACCGGUUCCGGGACAAGAGCGCUGGAGAGCUCGCAUUGUAUGGCGGGAUUGCCGUUGUCGGGUUUGCGAUUGGAGGUAGUGUGCCGAGCUCGCUGGAAAUCUUGCUGCUGGUUCCCGAGGCGCUCCAGGCAAUAGGCAGUGGGCGUGGGCUACUCGAUCCUCAUCGCUGGUAAGCGAUCAUAUGAUCCAUCCCCCUAUUUUCCUCGCAUUUUUUCUUUUGAAUGUAAAGUUUUCUUUUCCUGAUAAUCCCUUUCGUUUCCCAGUUGUUUUUUUUUUCCAGCGAUGGUGGAGGGAGCACACUCGUGCGAAGCAAAAAAUCGUGCAUCGAAUGGUUGAGUGGAGCUAUACCAAAUGAUAAACUUGAGACGAGAGUCCCGAUCGCCAGCGUCAAAGUUUUGCUGGAAGAAGUUGAGGAGCGCGACGGUGAUGUUCGUGGCCGAGCUUGGCAUCGUCUUGUGCUGCUUCCGCUAGCUUCUCAUUCCGAAAGGAUCCGGAAAACUAGACUUUCCAGGCAUCUUUUCCAGCUUUGCUUGACACGAUCGGGGUGACAUACAAUCUCUGCCUUGGGAGCGGACACGAGCAAGGAUCGGUACGGUUUUUAUAUGCUAGGAAGGCGAAACGCCAUAGACUUUGUGAGUGAUUGUUGUCUCUUAACUCUCUUCUCACUCCAAGAACGCGAAAGUAGGGGAGCACCGAAAGAAAGAGGGGAAGAACCUCGCGAAUCGCUGAUCCUCCUUUGCAGCAUUCGUCCAUCCAUCCGACGGAGCGUUUCUUUUUGCGAUUUCUUUUAUUCUUUAUUUAUUUAUUUUUUGUUGCAGAGGCAUGGUUGCUGCCUAGCAAGUUGCUCGCCGGUCACCUCAAGAACAGGCUUUUGCUCGCUCCUUUUCUCGGCUCUUCCAACUUUAUUCUAAGUGGAAGAACUUCGUCUAUCCACUGAAUUUUACAUACAGAAGGGGUGAUUUGGCGCAUCUCUGAUCUUUGGAUCUUCAUACGAAUUCACAAGAAUGUUAUGGAAUAAAGAGUUCUUUUGAGUGAGGAGGAGAACACAGAAUCGGCACUAUAAACCUGGGGAAAAUGCUCAAAUAAUCUUAAGGCGGAAUCGAGAUAUCCAGGCGCUGAUCUAUGCCUCGAACACCGCCACGGUGAUCCUUGCCGUGUGCUUCUUCGGGAACUUUGUAGAGCGGUGACGUAAUGGCAAGCAGAUCCUUGUGUAAGCGAGUUGACGACGAUACUUGAUCUUCCUCUCUUUGUGGCCGUCAUAAGGUUCCCGUGGCCGAGGCUAGUGGAUCUUCCAAGCCUUGUGCUUUGAGGGACUUGAGGUUCUUCUUUGCAGGAGCUCCUUCUUCGACCAUCAUCUUCUUGGCAGCCUCAAUCCAUCGCAAGGCACCACAUGAGAGCUGGAGGUGGCGCCAGUGGCACUCGUGCUUUAAAAUCCACUGCAAGAAAGGAUUCAGAUCCCGAUCCUUCCAAACACCAUCAUCGGGUGCAUGCAACUCCUGGAGCACAUUCCGAAAAUACACCUCCACAAACCCAGGCUCAUCGUAGCUAUGUGCUAUGUUUGCCAGACGGUCAGCAGCAGCUCCGGUAUGGUAAGCCCAAUAACAGCCAUAUUUCUUGACAGGACAAAACCGGUGCUCCGGAGCUUCCACACAGGGUACUGCAUGUAGUCCUCCAACUGAAUUCCGAAGUGCACACCAUUUCUCCAAACGAUGCAGUCUGGACUCCUGUGCAAUGAUUCCUGGACUCCUGUGCAAUGAUUACCAAAGGCAUCGUGCAGCUUACUGAACAACACUCUAUCGCAAAAAAGUUUGAUAUCCGCUUAGCUCAUAUGAAAGGUCUGUCCUCCUAGCCACGGGAAAUGAAAUAGUGGAGGCUUGCUCUCUAAAAUCUCUGGAAAUGUAACCAAAUGAGACCGGACGAAAUGUUGCAAGCCUCCAUGUUUGAGACAUAGUGCUAACCCAAAAUAAUUUACUUUGCUUAAGCAAACCAAAAGACACGCAAUAAUAGCACAUGCUCAUUUAGCUGAUUUUUUGCCAAAAAGCUUGACGCACGUGUCUAAAAGACUUACAAAACUUUGUAGAGUACCUGUGACUUUUUCUUCUGGAGUACUCCCACGAGAACCGUUCGUUCGUAAUUAAGGGCUCCGCUUUGUAAGAAAGCAAAGCACCAUUCUUACAAAUGUGCCACGCUUAGCCAUGUCUGUAGGAUUUGCGGAAAAUGGCUCGGUAGCUACUUCAUUGCGUUUUGGUGGUUAUAUACAAGAGGAUUAGCAACUCUUGCCGGUUAUGUGAUGUGGCUAGUGCUCCUUCUCAAGGUUUCCGUUACCUAGCUUGAGUGUCUUUAGGAAGACUUGAUCCUGUACACGAGGUAGAGCCUGCAGCAACAAAAUUCCAGAAGAAUUUUGCCUUUGUCGAUGAGUUCCCAGAUGAAAUGGAACCUCAGUUCGGUGUGCUUCAUUCUUGAAUGGAAUCGAGAGUUCCUUGUGAGAGCAAUGGCAGAUGACACGGGGUUCUCGUGGAUCAAAAUGUCCGAUCACAAUGGACAGCUUUGGUCCCUUCCGAUGUGAAAUAUUAUCUCAGCCCAGUACUCCCACGAGAACCAUGUGAACUCGUUCGCCGUUUAAAAAGGUAUCGCUUCCCAAUGCGUUGAUAGUUGAAUCUCUCAUCCAGCAUGGAUUCGCUGCUGGGCAUGUCUUCCGCGGCACUCUCGCUCGAUCGCGUCAAGCUCAAGCACCGGAGCCGAUGCCCACUUCUGCCCAAUCGCUCCCGGGGUACGCUCAAGAUCACCGCCAAUGCCAGGAAAGAAGCCAAUGCAGCAACAGGGGAGUCUGGUAAUCCCUCUUUCCCCUCCAAGAAAGGUAGCUCCACUCCGGCCUCGAUCAUCGAUCGCCGCGAGCUCCUGGCAGGAACAAUCGCCGGCGGAGCUUCGCUCGCGGCGUCCCCUACUGGUCCCGCGCUCGCCGAGCCCGUGGGAUCGCCCACCUUCAAGCGCUGCCAGCCCGCCAACAUCGCCAACACCAACACCUUCGUGGCGUGCUGCCCGCCGAAGCCCAAGCGCGACACCAUCGACUUCAAGCCCGACACCGGCCCCAUGCGCAUCCGCCCCGCCGCCCAUCUCGUGGACGAGGACUACAUCCAGAAGUACAACGAGGCCUACGCCAAGAUGCGCGCGCUCCCCUCGGAUGAUCCCCGGAGCUUCCGGCAGCAGGCAAACGUCCACUGCGUCUACUGCAACUUCGGCUACCGCCAGGAGGGCGAUCCAAAGUCAACCCUCCAGAUCCACUUCAACUGGCUCUUCCUGCCGUGGCACCGCUGGUACCUCUACUACCACGAGAAGAUCUUGGGCAGUUUGAUCAACGAUCCAACCUUCGCGCUGCCGUUUUGGAACUGGGACAACCAGGACGGGGGGAGCUACAUCCCGGAGAUGUUUCGGCGCGAGGGCACCCCCAUCUUCGACGCCAAUCGCAACGAGGCGAACUACGCGCCCGCGCGAGUGGAUCUCGGCUACGCGCCCGGCGUCGACCCCAGCUUCGGCGAGCCCACCUACAAGACCGACGAUCAGAUCCGCCAGGACAACAUCUCCGUCAUGUACAACAACGUCGCUAAGGUCAAGCUCCAGGACGCCUUCUUCGGCGCUCCCAUAAGGUACGUGUGCAUGGCCAGAAAAAGGUGACGAGCCAUGUCUUAUGCAGGAAAGGAAACAAUAAUGGUGGCGAUGGAUCCCUGGAGAAAGCCCCACACACGGCCGUGCACAUCUUUGGUGGCAGCCCCAAUAACCCCAAUGGUGAGGACCUGGGCAACUUCUACUCGGCCGGGAAGGAUCCACUCUUCUACUGCCACCACGGUAACGUGGACAGGAUGUGGGACGUGUGGAGGUCCCUGGGAAACCAGGACUUCACGGACGCCGACUACCUCAACACCGAGUUCCUCUUCUUCGAUGAGAACCAGGACCUCGUUCGCGUCAAGGUGAAAGAUUCCAUCGACAACCAGACGAAGCUCAAGUACAAGUACGCGUCCAUGCCCCAGGACAAGGUCUGGAUCAACUACAAGCCACUGCCGCUCGCAAAGACGGCCUUCGCGCAGCCCAAGAGUUCGAUCGUUGCUUCGUUGGUUCCUGGAGCUACUGCUAUGGCGGCUGAGUAUCCACUCGUGAAAUUCUCGUCCCAGAACGCCGAGCCUGUCAAGGUUGGAGCGGGCCCGCUGACGAUCACGGUGGCGCAGCCCAAAGGCAGCGCUUCGGACGAGCUCCUGGUCCUGGAAGAGAUGGUGGUUGGGAUGCAGAAUAACACUAACUUCAACGUGUUCAUCAAUCUCCCUGAGGCCAACGAGACCACCACGCUCUCCUGCGCCGAGUACGUCGGCUCUUUCUACAACAUCCCCCACUUCAUGCCCGGGAUGACCGAGUCGAGCACUCGGACCACCAACGCCCGCUUCUCCAUCAAGCCCAACGUCGAGAUCUUGGGGUUGAAGGACGCGGACAAGCUCGUUGUCACUCUGGUGCCGCGCGGGAAGGACAAGGAGAAAGUCUUCACGUUCAAGGGGGCCAGCAUCGAGUACGCUUGAUUUUUUAUGGAGCUCUAACUUUCGUUCUGUUUCAUUUGGGUUCCUGUUAUUGGAAAAAGAACACCAGAAAGCCAGCUGGCAUGGUAAAAGGAAAUCGAAAUGGUGUUACUUGAUGUUGCAAUUUCCAAUGUGAAGAUAAAGCUUUCUACGUAGAUGCACUAUCUAGACCAAAAAUGCCACAAUGAGAAGUAUUCUAAGAAAGAUCAAACAACGCUUCCAACGAAUGAAGACUCCUUGAGGCUACAGCUCUACUUGAAUCUGUUUGAUCUACAACCUGCAAGGAAUCUCACUUGAGAAAAAAUCUUCAUAGGCCGGGAAAGCCGACUAAACGCUGAGAAAAUUGAUACAUGAAAGAUUCUAAAAUCCCAGGAAACCUUUUUCUCUCUUCCUGUACGUUCCAAGCCUGGUAAAAGUUAUAGAAACCGUUCUCUUGACAGGAUAUUGUCUCCGGAAUAGCUUCGAUUGAGCUCAAACAAACGUUAUAGCUCAAAUGAAACAAGCUGUUCUAAGGUCUGUCCUCCUAGCCACGGGAAAUGAAGCAGUGGAGGCUUGCUCUCUAAAAUCUCUGGAAAUGUAACCAAAUGAAACCGGACGAAAUGUUGCAAGCUAUGUUUGGGUAUAGAAUCACAUGGUGCUAACCCAAAAUAAUUUACUUUGCUUAAGCAAACCAAAAGACAUGCAAUAAUAGCACAUGCUCAUUUAUCUGUUUUUUUGCCAAAAAGCUUGACGCACGUGUCUAAAAGACCUAUCAAACUUUGUGUGACUUUUUCGCCUGGAGUACUCCCACGAGAACCGUGUGACUCGAGUUCGUUCGUAAUUAAGGGCGCCCCUUUAUAAGAAAGCAAAGCACCAUUCUUACAAAUGUGCCACACUUAGCCAUGUCUCCCGCGGCACUCGCGCCAAGCUCCAGCACCGGUCCCGAUGCUGCCCGGGCCGCUCAUGAUCACCGCCAGCGCCAAGAAAGAAGCCAAUGCAUAAGGUACGUGUGCAUGGCCUUGAUUCUAAAAGGUGACCAAUGUCUCAUUCAGGAAAGGAAUGUGGGUGGCGAUGGAUCCCUGGAGAAAGCCCCACACAAGUCUUUGGUGGCAGCCCCAAGAACUCUCAUGGCGAGGACCUGGGCAACCCACUCUUCUACAGCCACCACGGUAACGUGGACCGGAUGUGGAACGUGUGGAAGACUGAAAAGCGGAAACGAGGACAUCGACAACGAGCAAGCCUACAGCCGUGGCUUGAAGUUGAUCCAGCUGCUUCGUUGGUUCCUGGAGCUACUGCUAUGGCGGCCAAGUAUCCAGUCGUGAAAUCCUCGUCCCAGAACGGGGAGCCUGUCAAAGUUGGAGCGGGCCCGCUGGCGAUCACGGUGGCGCAGCCCAAAGGCAGCGCUCGGGACGAGAUCCUGGUCCUGGAAGAGAUGGAGAUUGGGAUGCCUACCUUCAACGUGUUCAUCAAUCUCCCUGAGGCCAACGAGAGCACCACGGUCGCCUGCGCUGAGUACGUUGGCUCCUUCAACAACAUCCCCCACUUCAUGCCCAGGAUGACCGAGUCGAGCACCCGGACGCCCGCUUCUCCAUCAAGGAGAACGUCGAGAUCUUGGGCUUGAAGGACACGGACAAGAUCGUUGUCACUCUGGUGCCGCGCGGGAAGGACAAGGAGAGAGUCUUCACGUUCAAGGGGGCCAGCAUCCAGGACGCUUGAUUAUCGUUGGAGCUCUAAGCCUGUGCUGUUUGAUUUGAUUUGCUUUCCUGUGUAUUGGAAAAAGAAAACCAGAAAACCAGCUGACAUUGUAAGAAUGAAAUCGAAAUGGUGUUACUUGAUGUUUCAAUAACCAAUGUGAAGCUGGCGGAAGCUCUCUACUGCAUCAGGACGACGAUGUCUUGUAGAUCCAACUGUCUAGGCAGUAUCCUACCAAAAAUGCUCCGGCUAAGUCGCCAACGGCCAGACCUGGUCGAACACGCACAACGAAAGGAAUGUAAGCUGGAAGCGAAGAAAAGGAAGCACUCACCAAUCCAUGUUCCCGUGGAAGGCUUUAUUAGCACAGCCCCACACCCGGCUCCAAUCGAUGCACACGUUAGCGAUGCCACUGCCUUUAAGGAGUUCCCAGCUGUUCUUCGUGCCAAGCUGUGGAGGACAUCUAUCUCUUUCUUGUUCCCUUUGGCGCGGCCCGGGUUUUGCCUGUGAAUGUAGAUAACUCUCCCGGAUCUGUAAAUAUCAAGAACUUCUUGGACCAGGCAACUCGCUCCAACUCCGAGAGCAUGAGCUGAGAAAAAACAAGACCAAAGUAAAAUCGCAACUGCUUUGAAAAAACUGUGUCUGAACCUCGGAAGGUUGUUUUCGCGACACCCGUGAAUAAUUCGAUCUUCGUGAUGUGUCUUCUGGCCUUUCUCACGGCAGACUUUGGAACGUCUGGAAGAUAAAACGCGUUAGAACGAGAGCAAAGAAGCUCACACGCAAACCUUUUAAAAGCUUCCAAGCAGUCCGGGCGGAGACGACUUGCACAACAAUGCGCUCCAAAACUCGCCUCACAGUGAUUACAGAAACCUACAACAACAGGAAAAGAAAAACAUAAGCUCUCAGGCAAAGAAAAAGAAAGAAGAUGGUUUACCUCGCGGAAAGCGUGAGUCCCCGAGCGCUUGAAAGCCAGCCUGAAAUCCGGAGAAGUCUCCGUGGGACGAUCCUCUUCGUCGUCCUCGUCCUCCUCGACCUUCAUGUACGCCUCGAGCAGCGGGAGGAAAUUCACGAGCAGCGCUCGCAACCCAGUGGUGCCAAGAGCUUUCGGCCGGAACGCCGAGAAGAGCGGCUUGAGCUCGAUGUCGUAAGUCUUGAACGCAUAUCUCUUGCUCUCCUCGGUUCCAUACGUGGGCAUCCAUCUCCCCAGCCAGUCGUCCUCGGACGAGUCGACUUUGGCAUCGCAGAACGCCCAGUUCCUGGACAAGCGUCAGAUCACGCAACCCGGCAUUGAAAUCUGGAAGGGCAUUUCCCUAGAAGUAUCGAUGGAAGGUUUCUUACCUGGGAAACAGAGACGCGAUCCCAGCUACCGAUGAAGCGCUUAAGAGCGCGGCGGAAUGCAAGGCGUUGCUCGAUGAGGAGUCGAGAGCCAGCGCCAAGCCUUCCAUCGCCUAGCACGAAGAAUUAGGUCACACAGACAACAAAGAACAAAGAAGCGAGUAUAUUCUAGUUUUAUUCUAAAGAAUGGAUGCCGCCGAGAGAGAGCUUCGAUCUGGCGGGCCACUGGAUCUUGGAUCGAUUGCUGCAUCGUCGCGUGGGAGGAGCUGCGAUCUAGAAAUGCUGAUCAGAGGCAGAUCUCGCGGAACACCGGCAGCCUGGAUCUUGGAGCCAUGGCGGCCGCGUUGUCGUGGAGGAGGAGCUUGGUGAGAUUCAUCGCCGGCGCGACGAGCGGGGGGAGCUUGACGUCGGACAGCUUAGGCGUGGCGUGGAUGAAUCGGCAGCGCUUGCCGUAGGGACAGGUUCCAGCCGCGGAGAAUGUCCUGCAAACCUGGAUUUGAAAGAUUAUCGAUCGAUCAACGAAAUAUCUGUGAGAGAGGAGAUCGAGGAGAGCGAGAUUUCUACCUCGGUCUUGUAUUUCGGAUGCCGAUUGACUGGCCGGAGAUCUUCCUUGCCGUGAGCAAACUGGCACUUGUUGCCGUAGCGACAGGAGCCCGUCUCCUCCCACGAUCGGCACAGCUCCGUCUUGUACAGCUUGCUCGCGUCCGAUUCCUCGGCCAUCGCCUUGGCGAUCGAUCGAUGGAGAGGACAGUGGAAAUAUUUCGAGCGCUCAAAACGAGCGCUCUCCCAAGAACUCCAAGAACAAUGAGAGAAAGAGAACUAAAAAGAGAAAUGUGAGUAAAGCCUAGAAAUCUCUCGUCCUCUCGUAUUUGUACUCCCGCCAAUUCCCUCUAGAAAGUUUUUAACCCCACUCAUUGUCACAAUGAUUGCCAGGUAAGAAAUCCAAAGCUUCACUAGCUUUCAAACUCAACCGUUCGCACGAAUAUCCCCUAAACCCCCCGUGAUUAUUCGCAUCUUUCAACCGGCCACUGGAAUAUUCACCGUUAGAACCCUAAAAAUGCUGGUGUCUCGAUUGGGCUAUGGCGGGCGAGCUCUCCUCUCCAAAUGCCGGCGCCUGGCGCAGGGUAAGCGCAAUAUCCACAACAUCGACUCCUCCGACGACGAUCGCGGCGGCGAUCACACAGGCUUCACAGAGGACGAGGAGGAGGAAGCGCAGGAACAGGAAGAACAAGGGCGUAGGGUAGUGAUCGUGUGGGAUAUUACGACGAGCAAGCCGCCGGUGUCGAUGGAUCCACAAGUAGCGGCGCUCCGGGUCAGGGAUCUCGCCGACGCAUUCGGCUUCGUGGUGGAUCGAUCGGCCUACGCGGAGCCCCGGAUUCCAGUGACCGAUGCCCGGCCCAGGACGUAUUACGAGGAGAAACUCAUGGCAUCGCAGCUCAAGCCGGUGUGGUACCAGGACGUCCCCCAUCAGAGCGCCGAGGACUACGUCUACAAGUGUGGCUACUGCGGGAGAACGCUAAGCAGCCACCACUCGCUCUACAAGCACUUUAAGCAGAUCCACGCCCCGGAGAGGGCCAAGCGCGUCCACAAGCUCAACCGGAUCCAUCGCGGGCAGCGGCGGGACGAGUACGCUCUGGCGAUGGCGGACAAGGAGCAGCGAUACCGCGCGGCGCUCCGAGAGAUCGUCAUGCCCAAGCUGGUCGUCAGCGAUGAGCUUUGCAGCGCGCUCACGAGGGCGGGAUUUCUCGUCCGGCUGGUGACCGAGAAGCCACUUCGCCAUCUCUUCCUCACCGCCCAGGAGUCGGCCGUGAUCAACCAUCUCUGGCAGGCGGCCUGGCUCAACGUUGCGUGCAUCGUGCUGGUGAGCGAUUCGUGCCGGUUCGGGGAUUUCAUCCGGCUGGCCAGGGAGCAGCGCGGGGUGAAGUUCGUGGGGAUCAGCGAUGGAUUGAGCGAGUUCCGGAUGGGUGUGGAUUUGUUUAUCAGCUGGGAGGAGAUUGAGCGCGGGCGGGGGUAUGUGUGGGCGACCGAGGCUGCGCGGGCUUGGUUCUCGGGGCCUCGCUUGUUCGCGAAGAGAUCGACGCUGCGAAAGAGGCAAAAGUAUGGUGGCGGUGGCGAGUUUGAUCCCUUUCGCGAGUGAGAAGAGGAGUCAAGUUACUUCGAUCUGGCCUGGAAGAAUUGAGCUCUUAACCAUUUUGUGAUGAAAACAAAGCAUAUUCUAACUGAUGCUUAUCUAACGGCUUAAAGAUAUGUAUUUUAAAUUGGAAUUAAUUAAUUUAGAAUUCAAGUAUUUUAAUAUCUUUUAGAUUAUCUUGUUUAUUAGUAAAAAUGUUGCGAUAGUCUUAGUCUAAAAAUGUUGCGAUAAUAUUUUUUUUAUUUCCCAAUAAUUAUAUAAAAAAGUAUUUAAUAUAAUUUUACAUUUAAAUAUAUUCAUGUAUAUUCUCUAUAUUUAACCAAAAAACAUUAUUACAUAAAAUAAUUAACUAGUUAUUUUAGUUUUCUUGUUCAGCAUUAUGUAUAGCAAGGAAAGAUAUUUUUAAAUUAGUAAACAAUUAUAUAAUUAACUAUCUAUUUUUAAUUUAUAAAUUAUUAAAUUUUAAAAAUUAAAAAUUACAAGAUUUUAACCUUAGAAAAAUAAAAACUACAAUCAACACUAUUUAUAUCUUGUUUAUUUUGUAUUUAUGAUUGUUUGAAAGUCCUCAUAAAACUUAUAAUAAAUUUUUGUUAAGUUUAGCAAAUAUAUAAAAUAUCUAUUUAGUUUAUAAAAGACCAAAUCAAUAAAAAAAAUUUGUUUCUUUUUUACAAAGUAUUUAACAUUUUUAAAUUGUGCUUUUCACUUAAAAAUAAAAAUCUAAAUUAUUAAGUCUUAUAAUUGUUAAAUAUAGAUAUACAAAUUACUUAUCAUGUAACCAUUAAAGACUAUAUAGAGUAAUAAAACUUAAUAAAUUUAUUUCUUAAAGCUACCAUAGAAGUCAUACAUGCUUUAUGGAAAAAAAUAUUCUACAAAAGUCAAAACCUUUUUAUUUUUAUUUUUCUACUUUUAGUUUUUAUAUAUAUAGGGUAAUAAAACUUAAUAAAUUUAUUUCUUAAAGCUACCAUAGAAGUCAUACAUGCUUUAUAGAAAAAAAUAUUCUACAAAAGUCAAAACCUUUUUAUUUUUAUUUUUCUACUUUUAGUUUUUAUAUACUUUGUUGCAUAUUACUUUUAUUAUUUUUUUUAAGGUCUCUAAGUAUAUAUGUUCCAUUAAAUAGAGGUUUGUUGGACACUUUUCCAAAACUUAGAGAACUAGCAACACUUGGGCAAAUUUAAUCAUCCUACAUCAUUAUAUAUAUAUACACACAGACAUACAUACAUACAUACAUAUACACACACAUAUAUGUAUGUAUGUAUGUAUAUAUUACCCUACCUUGGUAAUACAUUAAUUAAAAUACUAUAGCAUAAUUUGGGAUUGAAUUUGAUCCAUAGAGUAUAAACCUUAAUUAAUAUACAAUUUAUCCCUAGAGGGCAAAGUUUUCUAGCAAUGUUUUGCUCAAUGUUUGAGAUUAUGUUUUUGUUUUUAUUCUAUCACUUUUCUUUUCUUUUCUAGAUUUGCUAUAGUUUUUUGCAAGAUCUAGGAUUAUAUCUUUUUGAAAUGUUCUUCUUUUAAUCUUUAUUUUAUUCUCUUCUUUUGCCAUACCACAUUAUUAUCAAUCAAGGAGCAUAUCACUUUAGGUUGCUAAUGCUAUUCCAUUGGAUUGAAUUUUUAGUGUUAUAAGGUGUAAUUAUAUUAGUGUUGCUCUAGUCUUUGAUAUGUACAAACUUAAAUGGAUUCUAGAAUAUGAUAAGAAGAUUAAUUAUUAUAAAGAUAACUUUGAAGAUGAGUUGAAGAUUUGACAAUCUUUCAAUUUGCCAUUUAAUGCUUUCUUUUUGCCUUACCAGCUAUAUUGACUUUUUACCGUGUGGCAAUAAAGAGAGAAUGUCCAUAAAGAUUGAUUGACAUUUUACGCUUUUCCAAUCUUUUUUCUUAUUUUUUAUAUCUAGUAUUUCUUCUUUAUCUACAAUAUUUCCUUUUUCUGACAUGUUAAUCAUUUAUGACUUUUAUAACUUUCAUUCUCAAUCUAGUGUUGAGCUAAAUGUUUUUUAUCAUACUUAUAUUAUGUGUGAAGUUUAAGAAUCUUACUUUUAUUUCUUUGGCGAAAUCUUUGAUUAGUUCUUAUGUUGAGUAUACCACUAUUCCAAGGUUGACCACUUUUGCUAGAAUUUUAGUUAAGUGUAUAUCCCUAAUUAUUAAUGUUAUUAAGAGCCUUUUCUUUAUUAUUAUUGCUAAGGAGUUUAUGUGUUCUUUUUAAGAAUAUGGACAUUUUUAUUGAUUUUCUUGUUUCAUGUGUUGAAUAGUAUUUUAAAGAGGUUAAGUGAUGUGAAUCUUUUAUUUAUAUUAUGAUCAUGCCCUACAAUACCAAAAGCUUGAUCCAAUUGAGUAGCACGAACAGCCUCAAGUGACAUAUUCCUUAAUCAAUGAUGAUGUGGCAUGGCAAAAGAAGAAAAUGCAAUAGCUAUAAUCCUAAACCUAGAGAAAAGUUAAUAUAAAUCUAGAUUUAAAAGAGAAAGAAACAAAUAAGAAUAAAAGUAUGAUCCCAAACACUAGAACAAAGCAUUGCUAAAAAUCUUUGCCCUCUUGAAACAAAUUGCAAUAGUUCUCAAAACCAAAUUAAGUCCUCAAUAAGAUAUAAUUUUAUAUAUUUAUAGACCUGACAAUACAAAACUAAAAAUCUUAAAAUUUAUAUUAUAUUUAUCCUUAUCUUAAUUUUGUUCAUUUAUGCACUAAAACCAUGGGGAAGACAUUCUUGGACAUCCUUGUGGACAAGUCCUCGAAAGAAAAAUCUCUCAGCCUUUCACCAUCCAUUUCAAUUUACUUAAAGGUUCAUAAAUUAUAAACAUGUUUAUAAUUUGUAAACAUCAGUGAAUUUUGUGGUAGCAGCAUUUUACUACCCGCCACAAUAUUUGUAGUUCAUUUUUACUACCAAUUACUGUAAGCUAAUAUAUUUGUAGUACAAAAUAGCUAUGACUAAAGUAUAUUCCUAUUAUGCAUGAAUACCUAAAAAAUAAACUUAAAAACAAGAUUUUAGUGAUCACAACAAAGUUGACUGUUAGAUACAUUCUAAUUUUAAUAAAUAUAAAGUAAACUAUAAUUACUGUAAAUGAGAUUUUAUUAUAUAGAAUAAGUAAUGCGCUCAUUCAAAUUUGCAUUUAAAUUUGUCUAAUGUGCAUUCAUAAAAAAGUUAUAACUUUUUUAACCCCUUCUACAUUUCUAAGUUGGAGUUGGCUUAGUUUCUGUGAAGUAGCCAGUAGCCAAUCCACCAACUUGCUACAUAAUUUAAUCAACAUGUGCAGCAUAGUAGUGUUACUAGGCACUCCACAACCUCACAGUGCUCAUCUGAAACAUCCUUACCUCGGUGUGCAUCUGCAGAGGUGUUUGAUCGGCUUCCUUUUUGGGAUGAGAAUGCUGCUAUGGCUUCCUUGCCCAACAAAAUUUGAGAGACAGUUUCAAGAUCUCUCCUGCAUGGUUGCCAAGGGCUGGGACGCUCUCAAGAACGUUUUGUUUUUGGUUUUAUGUUGAAUUUCAUCUCCUAAAACCUUUCUUACCUCAACUUAUAGUCUUGUUUAUAUUAUGGCGGGAGGAACCCUUGAACACAGGUGUUUGGUGUACGAGUUCUAUAUCACAGAUUAAUAUAUCAACGAGAGAUUUCUAAGCUCCAGGCGCAAAUUUCUGCUCAAGAUUUCCAUAACGACUUCUUAUUUCUCCCUUGUAAAAAGGAAUCACUUCUUUAUUAAGGAUAAGAUUUUUAUUGUAUGAAAUAUCUUUUUUUGAAUCAUCUCAUGUAAGGAUUUCUUUUUCCAUCUGAUUGUAUGUGUAAGAUUUCCUCCUUUUACAAUCUUGUAAAUUCCUAUGAUUCUUAUAUACACGUAGUUACGAAGUCAUUUAUUCGCCCUCUUUUCAAAAUUUCACGUAAAUAAGUGAAAAUAAGUACUUAAAACUUCUGCUUUCGUCUCUAUCACGAGAUGCUGCAGCCAAAUUUUUGCGAUCGCUCCAUGUCUUCCAGUUCCGCGAUUAUUUCCCGAAACGAUGGCCUCUUUUUGGCAUCAAAGUCCAAGCAACGAGUGAGAAGCCUGUCAAUCAAAGUAGAGCACCUCUUCAUAAAAAAAACUGGAGGAACGGAAAACAAAAAACGAGAGAGAGAGAAAGACCAAACUAAAGUUCUGGGCUUAACUGUUUCAUAUUCGUCGGAUACUUUGCUGUGAAAGCUGGUUUAUAGCCAUGCCUGGCCCUGUCCUCCACAGCGUGAAUUGGAUUCUCAUAUCUAUUCCCUACAUGACCUUCAAACAUCUGGAGCAAGUUGAAACAAAGUUCUCUUGGGGGAUCAGGUGUGAAAAUACCUCAUAGACGAUGAGAGCAAACGAGUAGACGUCGACGCUCUUGUCAUAGGAUUGAUGCUUGAACACCUCCGGCGCCAUAUACCUGUCUGCUUCUUCACCGUUGAGCGUAAGAACGAAACCAUGUCAAGGAUCUCGCCAUCGAAAUUAAAAGAGAACUUACAAGAUCCUGUUUCUCCGGUCAUCUUGUAGACUUCGUCCACCGUAGCGCCGGAGGCUUUAACAAGCCUGCUCAAUCCAAAAUCGCCAACUUUCAAAUGGCCCGCGUCGUCCAGGAGUAUGUUUCUGUUGGAAAGAACAAAACAUCUCUAGUUUGAGUGUUUUGUUCAAGUGAUAACUUACGUGGGCUUCAAGUCCCGGUGUAUAACUGGCUCUGGCUUGUGCUCGUGAAGAAAAUUCAUGCCUCUAACGAAAGGAAAACAUAUAGAAAUGAAGUGAGUUCAUGAGUUUACCUUGCAAUGUCGAGAGCAAAAUGAAGAACUUGUUUCCCGCCCAAGGAGCCUUUGCUCUUUCUUCUGAGUAGAGCUUGUAAGUCGCCCUGUGAGAAGAGGCACGCAUGAGUUUCAUGACAAGCAAACCACUUACUUUGGGGAGGUAUUCUGUGAUUAUGAUCAGGUUUUCUUGCUUAGUGACGGCUCCUAGAAACUGGACAAUGUUUGGAUGAUGGAGCUUUUGCAGCAAGACGAGCUCCCUCACGAACUCUCUUCUGCAAAACCAUGAUAUGUUGGUGUGAAACAAGGAGUUCACUCGAGCUCUCGUGUCAGCAAGCUUACACGACUUGCUUGUCCUGUAAGAGAGAUGUUAAGAUCGUCUUUGCAGCAACCUUUGUGCCUCGCCAUUUGACCACUCGGAUCUCCCCAAAAGCACCCUGUUUGAGUUUAUCAAGCAAAGCAAAUCUAAGCUUCCAAACAAGAAUCGAAGUGACAAAACUUACUCUCCCGAUGGGAUCAUUGUUGCCAAUCCUCUCAAUCUCCCCAGGAUCUAUUUCGUACUCGGGUACAACUGAUUCCUUGACAAAGGAAAUCAAGAUCACUCAUGAACAAGGAUAAAGAAGAACAACAAAGAACUUACAUAGUCCAUGGCUUCGUGGGCCUCGAGAAGCUUGCAAAUACGCAUGUGUCCAUAGCGUCGCGCAUCAGCUAGAGGCUUCACAAGAAAAAAAAAAAAAAAACCGAAGAAAUCAAUCAAAAAGAGAAGAACUCAUACCGUUCGUCCCCAUCGAUCUCUGGGGCUAAGAUCGACUCCAUGCUGGAUGAGAAGAAGCACACAGUCGGCAUGGCCCUCACUGGCAGCCAAAUGUAGCGCGGUCCUCUUGUCAUAGUCGGCAACGUCCUUGUUCACGCCCUCUCGCAAAGCUUGGCGGAGACCCUCUACGUCGCCACGGCUCGCGCAGUAGAGCAACUUCACCGUGUCAGCUUCCUCGCGCGACGUGAUAUCAUGAUCCUGUUCCUGGAUGGCUCCCAAAGAAACAGUCAAGAAAGAAAGUUCUACAUAUGGACUGUUCUUCCAGUUUUAGAUCUCUCUCGUACCGUCAUGUUUGACUUUGGAAGAGCUCAAUCCAUGCGCGAGCAGGCGUGUGGAUCCGGAUCCAUUCUCUUCCUUCCCUGUAACACAUGCAUGAACCCCAAAUCUUUGCGGAAGAAAAAAUGCGCGAUCGACCUGGACGAUCGAGAAAAGGAUGAGAAGCUCAAGAGCCAACCUUGAAUCGAUUGAGCUGCGCUCCUCAAGGAGAGGUGUCCCAAAUCGUCAUCCACAAUCGCGGUUACCGAGAAGCCCUGGAUAAAAAUCCUUCCAGCUUGAGCUGGUCCGCCGGUUUUAGCACCCUUCGAUCGUGGCUUGUCCUGUCCCUUAGCGCGCAGUGAAAGAAGAGAGAAUAUCUGGGCAUCUUGCCACCACGCGUACGCUCACAAUAGGCCUUCCGUACGCUGGAUCCAGUGGGACAAAACCCUAUCGAUGAUCCCGAAGAUCCAUUUGGAGGGAAUCCAANNNNNNNNNNNNNNNNNNNNNNNNNNNNNNNNNNNNNNNNNNNNNNNNNNNNNNNNNNNNNNNNNNNNNNNNNNNNNNNNNNNNNNNNNNNNNNNNNNNNGGUAUCAAAUAUUGAAUUUAGGGUUCUUCCGGGGUUUGAUGCGAGGAUGGAGACGAUGGAGCCGAGAUCUCGGUUGUGUCGCGCUGGAAGCUUUCCCACAGAGCAGGAGGAGCGGCGGCGUUGCCGCAUUGUCGCCGCCAGCGUCGGAUCUCCUCGGUGUCCUCAGGCAAGGGCUUCUCCAGGGGAAGCGCUGGAAGGAGAUUGCCGCGGCGUACCAGGGGGCGAUCGACCCGCAAAUCGCCGGCCAGGUACUCAAGAAUGUGUGGGACGUCCGCCUGGCCUGCUGCGUGUUCUUCUGGGCUAGACGAGAGAAGCAGUGUGUUCACACGCUGUGGAGCUACCAGUGUUUCCUGGAGGCGCUGCUUCGAUCCAGGGGAGGCUCGCUCGUCAUCCGGCACUACGUCGAGAUGGUCAAAGCGGGGAUUGGGCACGACGAGUAUGGAUUUUGCCUCGCGCUCGCGGGGAUUUGCGAGACUGGAUCGUGGUUCCAGGCGUUUAAGAAGCUCAAGAACAGGACCAUCUUUGGGAAGCCACUGAGCUCCAGCAUGUUUAACGUGGUCUUGGAGGGAGCUUGCAAGCGAGAGCGAUUGAGAGGAGCUGCCGAUAUCCUGCGGUACAUGACGAGCGUGGCGAUGGUUUCUCCGGACGUUUUGAGCUACAGGAUCGUGAUCGAGGCUUUUGGUGCUGGGCAUUGGAUCCAGCAAGUGGAAACUUGUUUCCGGGACAUGGUGGAGCGUGGUAUCGAGCCGGACGCUGCGAUUUACGAGGCUUUGGUGGAUGCUUAUAGCGGAGUUUACAGGCAGGAGGAAGGAUGCAAGGCUUUUAGCUCGAUGCUCGAGCGCGGUUGGAGGCCGAGCUCUGACGCUUACUCGGUUCUUUUGCGGUGCUGCCUCAAGAACUGGGAUGGAGUUUCCGCCUACAAGCUCUUCCGAGAGAUGGAAGGCGUUGGCUACGAGCUGACGGGAACUCUUUACCAGGAGAUGAUCCAUGGCUUUGUCAACUCGAGGAUGUUUAGCGAGGCACGGGCUCUCACCAAGGAGAUGGUCUCGAAAGGAUUUAAGCCAUCUCCCAGCGGCUAUUCGGCUCUCAUCCUGGCAUUUGCCAGCCCGGCACGGGUGAACGAAUCAUGGGAAGUUUUCCAGGAGCUUCUCCAGCAAUGUGGGAACGUCCUUGACCGGGAAACUUACUCGGCGUUUGUGACGAAGCUGGCAAAAAUGGAUCGAGCAGCCGAGGCAGUGAGGGCCUACGAGGGAAUGACUGAGUCGUGCGAUCGCAGGCCGGAUGAGAAAACGCUCCAGGAACUGGUGGGAUGCUUGUGUAGAACUGGCAGCGUGGAUCUAGCGCAGUGGCUGAUCAACCAAGUCGUGCACGACUUCAAGAACAUCGUUCCCAGCGUGGAGACUUUCAACAUGGUGCUAUCCGAGUACUGCUGCUUUGGGCCGAGCUACGGCAAUCUGAGGUCCCUUGAGAUAAAAAAGGCGAUGGAGCUGCUGGACGAGAUGGUGAAGCUGGGAAGGCGGCCGACUGUCAACUCUUUCCAGAUCGCCGUGCAUGGGCUUUGCAAGGCGGGGCGAGCUCUCGACGCGUACAAGCUCUUCCUCACUAUCCGGGACUUCGAUCUAGCUCCUGACGCUGCGACGAGCAAGACGGUGAUCAUGGGGCUGUGUAGCAUCGGCAGGAUUGUGGAAGCCGAGCUUGUGUUUGAUCAUCUUUUAUCGGAUCGAAGGGAGGUCAAGGAGAGCAGCUUGGUGGUGUCCCAGGUUUAUAAGGUGAUUGUGGAUGCCAGGUGUAGUGAUUUGAGGAAGCUCCUCAGGAAAGGAAGGAGAUGGUGGAAUGAAUCCAGUGUAAGUUUAGAGAUCGAUUUUACUGAAAAUAGUUGCUUGGGAUGGUAGAAGAGUAUUUAAACCACUACUUUAAACACUAACCUAGCAACUAUUUGUCGGUAGAGACCAUGAAACCACGACCACACACCUAUAUAACGUAAAUCACUAAGCCAUAUAAGCAUCAGGAAACUAAGGAAAACUAAUGAAUUAAUUGCAACCACAUUUACAAUUGCAAAAUGUUUGAAAUAGUGAGGAUAGAAGUAAAUCAUACCCCAUAUCAUGUCAAAAGCUUGAUAUGAGCCUCUAGCAACAUGCUUUAUCAACAGCAUGGCAAGGGAAUGUAAUUAUAUCUAGCAAAAAGCAUGAAUAAAUUUAGAUUGAAUGGGAAGAAUAAGGGAAUCAAAGAAGAAUAAUCUAGAAGGCGAAUAAGGAAAGCCUCUGCAAAGCUUUAUGUGAUAGUUAUCACUCCUUAAAUUUGCUAUCUAAUUUUAUUUCUCUGCAUUUUCAUCUAUCUUUCUCAACCAUUUAUUUUAUCUCAGUUUGAGCCACUUCUUCUUGCAAUGUUUUUCCUUUUAUCUUUUUUUCCUAAUGUGUUAAUCUUAGUUAAGUGCUUUCAAUCCCUCACCAUUUUUUAUUCUUCCACAUUAUUUCUUCCUCAAAUUUUUUUCUUUCUCAUUGUUACUUCCCUGACUCAAUAUAUAUCCUCCAUGACAAAUUCUCCAUAACCUGAUAUGCAUCAGCUAACCUAUUUGCUCAAAUGAAUCCACUUAUGGGGAUUAUCACUAUCAAAGCACACCCACUUCGAAAAUAUCUUCUAGAAGCCUCUUAGCCUCAUCCAUGUUAAGGAGAUUUGCAAUAACAAUCCAUUAAGCUAUCAUAAGUUGCCACCACAUCCAGCCCACAAUUCUUCUUUAUCAUAGAGGUAAAGGUCAUCUAUGAUACUAUAAUAUACCAUUUCUUUUAAGAGCUUGUUGACCUGGGUCAACAAGGCUGGGAAAAAGCCAGAUACCUCUAGCUAAAACACUUUUGACUUGUCUACAUUUGCAAGUUGAAGAAAAUCCUUGAGAAGAUUUUCUUUUCUUUUUCUUUCUUUUCUUUGCUUGCACCACUUUUCUUACCUUUUUCAGUAAAGCAUGAGCUUGGAUUUGUGGUAUGACUCUUCUCAUCUGGAAGCUCAUGCACUUUUCACUUCAUUUUCAAGGGUCCUAGGUUUUCACUAUAUCAUUCCACUCCAUUUGCCAUAUCCAUCAUUCUAGAUCACUCACAAUCACAAUCCAUUCAUUCAACUAUUCUCUCCAACAUGUUUAUUUCUUGCUAUAGUUGCCCACCCAAUUUAAAUAUACUUCUCACUAAACAUACAUCAUACAUAGCAAAAAGCAGUAAAAACUAAUAUAUCAAACUUAAGAUAGGAUGUAGAUUGUCUUGAAGCAGCAAAUUUGCAUAAAUACAAGACAUGUAGCAAAUGAUUUAUGAAUGCUGGUCACACUUGAUGCACACAAGAGGCCAACCAUGAUUAUGGACAUUGUACUCAAACCCACAAACAUCAACAAUUAUGGCAAAUAGAUAGAGCCUUAUGUUGGUAGCAAUUCGAUUCAAAGAGAUGAUACUGCAGGACCAUGAUAAGAGAGAGACACUUGAUGCUUGAACGUUAGAUCCCUUGCUAUGGUGGGGUAUACGAGGGAGGAAUCAAAUGGAAGUGAAGGUCACCAAACACCAUGGAAAAAGAGGCAAAGCUGGGAGAUAUAGACCUAGAUGUUCUAAAGAGGAGAUGACCAUAGCAACCUCUCUUAGAGGGUGGAGAGCAUUCCUAGGCUGAAGGUAGUAUGAGAAUAAGAAGUAAAUAGCACCAUGGGUUUUUUAUAAUAGUUUAUAAGGGAUAUUGAUAAUGUAUAUAAUUAUUUCAUCAAACCCACAAACUGGCAUAUCAAUUGGGAAUUACACUUUAUAUAUUUGUGUUUCUUAGGUAUAGUAAUUUUCUACAUAGACAUGCAUAUUUACAAGCUUAUAAAGUUUAUUUUAAAUAUAAUUAUUUGAAGUGACAUAUUAAUAAAAACAUAGUGUGAGUGCCUAGAAUAAGAAAAGGGAAUAUAGUAAAGUGCAUAUCAAUUAGCUUAUUUAUAGGAGGGAAUGGUCUAAAUUGAAAUUCUACUAUACUAAUAUUAGUAUAUGGCAUCAUAGCCAUACAUUUGGACCACACAUCAUCCCCUCAUCUUAGAAGGGUGCAAGAUAGUCAAGGUUCUUUAGAUAAUUUAGGAUUUAGAGGAACAUUAGGAGAAGGCAUUAGUGGAUUUAUAGAUGGUGCUAGUUGUUCUUGAUCCCUUUGAUCCUUUUGAUCAACUCUAAUAACAUAAAGAAGGUCGUCCUCAAGGCUAUAUUAAGAAUGUAAAUGCCAAAACAGUAAAUCAUUAGUAAAUGAUGUAGAAUUCUCAAACCCUUUACAAAAAUUUCAAAUCCACACCUCAAUCUUUUGAGCCUUACAAACCUCAUCAAGAGAAGUUAAAUCUUACUCCACACCUUGUAAAUAUUAAACAUCAAGUAUAACAAUCACCAAUAGCAUGGAAUCUUCAUCUAAAAAAUUCAUAAAUAUUGGAACAACAAACUCAUUAGGAACAAAAUAAGAGAGUGAAAAAGGGAGAGGAACUUGACAAAGGGUAUUAUCAUUAGCUAUACAACUCCUUGAAUGAUGAACAACCUCAAAAUCAUAUAUCUGAAGCUUUAGAGUCUAUCAAACAACACUACCAACCAAAUUCUUCCAUUUUAAUAAUGAAAUAACCAUAGCAUUAUUACCUUCAAGCAACCAUGUAAAUAUGCAGCUUUUUGAAACCCUAAAUUACUAUUAAACACUCCUUUAUUGCGGAGUAAUUCACCUCUGCUAAUUGUAAUGUAUAACUAAUAUAUAUAAUGGGAUGAUGUUGAUUAAGCACUUGUACUCUAUUGCAUUAAGACACCCCCAAGAUUGAUAUCCAAGCAUCUACAUGCAAAAUGAAAGGUUGAGUGUAAUGAAGAGGAGUUGUUAAUAACUCUUUAAAAUCCAUAAAUGUUUGUUUGCGGUCUUCAAACUAAAUAAAAAAUGACAUUAACAAUUUCAGCAACAUUUGCAAUGGUGUAGUGCGAUCAGAAAGAUGAUCAAAGAAUGAUUGAAAUAUUGCAUAUUACUCAAAAAGUGUGCACAUCAUUCACACACUAGGGAAUUUGAAAUAAACACAAGUUUGUUAGGAUCAUGAAAAAUAUAGUAUCUAAGAUAAGUUAUGUUUUUGGACCUAAACACGCAUUUUAACCACUUUAGCUUUAUACCAACUUCCUGCAACUAAUUUAACACUUUCCAAAUAUCACAAAUAACAUCACUAAUAGUACUAUAGUAUAUGAACCAUCUAUUUGGGAUUAAAUCUAGUCUAUCUAUUUUUUUAUGGAAGAAAUUAAUAUAUUCCAAGCACUCAUAUUGGUGGAAGUGAGGGCAUCGCAAUUUGUACCUAAAGAGCAAAAUUUAUUAGUAAUGCUUUGCUUUAGUGUUUGAGAUUAUGCUUUUUGUUAUUAUUUCUUCAUUCUUUUUUAGAUUUAGAUCUAUAUUAGAUUUUUGCAAGAUUUAGAAUUCUAGUUAUCACUGUGCUUAGACUUGUUUUUUCUUUUGAUCUUUAUUGCAUUUUUUUCUUCUACCAUAUUACCCUAUCAUCAAUGAAAGAGUAUAUCACUUGAGGCUGUUGAUGUUACUUCGUUAAAUUGAGCUUUUGGUGCUAUAAGGUGUGAUUAUGUUAAUGUUGCACGCAUCUUUGAUGUGUUAUCAUUUCCAACUUUCGUGGGAUGUGAUUAUAUGGCUUGUCCUAUUCUUAAUGUUCUACCAUCUCUCAUUGAUGUGAAGUGUGAUCGUGACAUCAAUUAACAAGCUAUAGAUGAUGUAGUUUGAUUUUUGAAGAAUAUUCAAAAAUUGAGUUUUAUGUAAAGACGAUGUUUACAAGCUUGAAUGGAUUUUGGAUUGUGAUGAGGAACUUGAUUAUUAUGGAGGUAGCUUUGGAGAUGAAUUUAAGAUUUCACAUAUCAAUCUUUCAAUUUGCCAUUUAAUCCUUUUUCUUUACCUUCUAUUCUUUCUUAACUUUUUCUUAUUUCUCAGCCUGAGCCACUUAUUCGUUCCUCAUCUGUAAUGUUUCCUUUUUAUUGCAUAUUGGUCAUUUGUGACUUUUAUGAUUCUCAUUCUUAAUUUAGUGUUGAAUUAAAUAUUUUUUAUCCUCAUAUUAAUCUAGAUUUCAAGCAUAUGUGGGAAGUUGAGUGUUUCUUUAGCAAAGUCUUUAAUCAAUUUUAAUAUAAAGUAUUAUCUUAUUUGAAAGGUUGAGUAAUUUUGGCUAAAAGUUUGGGUUCNNNNNNNNNNNNNNNNNNNNNNNNNNNNNNNNNNNNNNNNNNNNNNNNNNNNNNNNNNNNNNNNNNNNNNNNNNNNNNNNNNNNNNNNNNNNNNNNNNNNNNNNNNNNNNNNNNNNNNNNNNNNNNNNNNNNNNNNNNNNNNNNNNNNNNNNNNNNNNNNNNNNNNNNNNNNNNNNNNNNNNNNNNNNNNNNNNNNNNNNNNNNNNNNNNNNNNNNNNNNNNNNNNNNNNNNNNNNNNNNNNNNNNNNNNNNNNNNNNNNNNNNNNNNNNNNNNNNNNNNNNNNNNNNNNNNNNNNNNNNNNNNNNNNNNNNNNNNNNNNNNNNNNNNNNNNNNNNNNNNNNNNNNNNNNNNNNNNNNNNNNNNNNNNNNNNNNNNNNNNNNNNNNNNNNNNNNNNNNNNNNNNNNNNNNNNNNNNNNNNNNNNNNNNNNNNNNNNNNNNNNNNNNNNNNNNNNNNNNNNNNNNNNNNNNNNNNNNNNNNNNNNNNNNNNNNNNNNNNNNNNNNNNNNNNNNNNNNNNNNNNNNNNNNNNNNNNNNNNNNNNNNNNNNNNNNNNNNNNNNNNNNNNNNNNNNNNNNNNNNNNNNNNNNNNNNNNNNNNNNNNNNNNNNNNNNNNNNNNNNNNNNNNNNNNNNNNNNNNNNNNNNNNNNNNNNNNNNNNNNNNNNNNNNNNNNNNNNNNNNNNNNNNNNNNNNNNNNNNNNNNNNNNNNNNNNNNNNNNNNNNNNNNNNNNNNNNNNNNNNNNNNNNNNNNNNNNNNNNNNNNNNNNNNNNNNNNNNNNNNNNNNNNNNNNNNNNNNNNNNNNNNNNNNNNNNNNNNNNNNNNNNNNNNNNNNNNNNNNNNNNNNNNNNNNNNNNNNNNNNNNNNNNNNNNNNNNNNNNNNNNNNNNNNNNNNNNNNNNNNNNNNNNNNNNNNNNNNNNNNNNNNNNNNNNNNNNNNNNNNNNNNNNNNNNNNNNNNNNNNNNNNNNNNNNNNNNNNNNNNNNNNNNNNNNNNNNNNNNNNNNNNNNNNNNNNNNNNNNNNNNNNNNNNNNNNNNNNNNNNNNNNNNNNNNNNNNNNNNNNNNNNNNNNNNNNNNNNNNNNNNNNNNNNNNNNNNNNNNNNNNNNNNNNNNNNNNNNNNNNNNNNNNNNNNNNNNNNNNNNNNNNNNNNNNNNNNNNNNNNNNNNNNNNNNNNNNNNNNNNNNNNNNNNNNNNNNNNNNNNNNNNNNNNNNNNNNNNNNNNNNNNNNNNNNNNNNNNNNNNNNNNNNNNNNNNNNNNNNNNNNNNNNNNNNNNNNNNNNNNNNNNNNNNNNNNNNNNNNNNNNNNNNNNNNNNNNNNNNNNNNNNNNNNNNNNNNNNNNNNNNNNNNNNNNNNNNNNNNNNNNNNNNNNNNNNNNNNNNNNNNNNNNNNNNNNNNNNNNNNNNNNNNNNNNNNNNNNNNNNNNNNNNNNNNNNNNNNNNNAUGAUAGCUUAUUGUGUCUACCAAACACCCUUGCUAUCAUACCUUUUUGUGUUAGUCUCAUUUUGCUCUUAAAUACUAUUUGUGGGAAGUGUUUAGAUUCGCUUAUUUGGCAUAUUUACGGAAUGUAGAGAUUGGCUUGAACACGAUGGUGUUCAUCCCGUGUCCAAAGUCACAAUCUAGGAAUAUUCUAUAUUUAGUAACUUUCGAGCUUAUCCCAGAGACUAACUCUUGGUACUAAGGGAAGCUUGGGGUGAAAGCCCAAAACAUGUGUUCUUCAAGGGGGCGGGGGGGGAGGGUCGGGGAGAUUGUGGGGGGUUCCAAAUGUAUAGUAGGGAUAGUGGUUGGAAUGCAUAUUCAACUAUCUGAGACAUUAGUUUGGCACCUAUUAGGUUGUGUCAUUCCUUAUUUUGCGUCUGGCUUAGGUCUAAGCCUAAGCCCCAUGCUGUUCUAGUCAGUGGGGUACCUUCCUCCUCAUGUUAGGCCACUGAUAUGCCAAAAUUGUGCCAGACUCUGUCUGACACCAUUUUGCAUGCAAGUGUUGGAUACGAGGAGCUGGUUCUCAUGGGAUCGUACCGGACCUUCGUUUCGUACCGCAAUGGGCUUAGAGUUCAGCUCCAAAUUCAGGUGCGCUAGAUUUGGUAUCAGAGGAAUUGUUUCAGUGAUUCCUAUCCAACUUUUGUCGGAUUUUCUGACUCAAGUUGCAUAUACAAAGACUUUUCUAGUAGAUUUGAAGCGACCUAUGUAGGAUUAGUUAGAUUGCACCAUUCGGUAAGAACGUUGUAUGCAUAUUCAAUUACUGAUAGAGGCAUGCAUGCAACUAGUGGGAUGGUGAAAAGGAACCGUGUUGAUGACACUAAAACCUUUAAACGGGCGAAUUGAGAGGAGGAAUCUCCUGCUAGAGAUGUUGUAGAAGAAGCAGAGACCGAGUCAGAAGAGGAAGAGCCAGAUGCUGCGGCACUGCAGCAUAUGGCUUAGGAAAUUGAGAUCGAGAAUUUACGAAUGGAAGUUCACAAAUUGAAAAAGGGGAACAAGAAGAGGAAGAAAGAAGCUGAAGCGGCUAAACCAGCUAAACCUAAGCAACCAGACUCCUCCUCAAGUUCUGAGGAUGAUGAAGUUCUGCAACCACCCCCAGUUGCAUGAGUUUCAAAGUUCAAACCUCCAAAACCACUCAAUUUCAGAGGCAUGUGGGACUAUCAGGUUUUGAAAGACUGGGUCUACAAUAUGGAAAACUAUUUCAUAGUGGUACGAAAGUUGCAUGCACGCAAUCCUUUCUUAUCGAUCAUGCCAAAAUUUGGUGGCGCCAGGUGUGUGCUGAAAAAGGGCAAACUAGAAGUUAGACCAAGAUGCGGUCUCAUAUCCGUAAGGAAUACUUGCCGGAUGAUCUUGGUUUGAGACUUCGCACAGAGCUACGGUAGUUAAAGCAAUGAGGGGAUCUCAUGCAUUACGUUAAUGCAUUUGCUCAGAAGUGCAUUAUGAUUACAAAUAUGAGUGACAAAGAUGCUCAAAGUUAUUUCCUAGAGGGUUUACGUUCACUUUCUCAUAAUGAGAUUUUGAAGUUUAAGCCAAAGACGUACCUGGAGUGUAAGGAGGCAGCACAACAAAUUGCCUUUAGUCACUCGCUCAUGGAACAAUAUCAAUAACUGUAUGCUAGUACUUCAGACAAGAACAAAAAUUCUGGGAAUAAACAAGGUGAUUGGAAACAAAGGGUGGAAGGCAGGUUCCACUCUAAAGGCUCAUAAGCAACAGUUAACAAAGGUGGUGGUGGUUGGAGACCACUAACAGCUUCUUCUGGUCCUAGGCCUUCUGUUCCUCCUCCUGUAUAAGUAGCAGCAAUUGGCAAAAGCUGCUCCUAGUGGAAUAGGUAGUGUGGGUCAUUGCUUCCAUUGUGGAGAGUCGGGAUAUAGGUCCUCGAAAUGUCCCAACAAGCAUAAGACAAAGUUUCAUGUUAAUUUCAUGAGGGAAGACAGUGGUGGUGAAGCUGAAGGGGUUGACGAGUUGGUCAAUGCAGACUAUGAGGAAGAGGAGAUGAGCCACUUUUGUUGCUUUCCUCAAGUUUUUCUCACAAUCAAUGCAAACACUGAUCUGUUGAUGUAUCUAAUAGGCUUUAUCCGUGGACACCAAAUCCAAGUAAUGAUUGAGACCGAAGCUAUGCACAACAUGAUAUCUGAAAACUUAGUUAAGUUGUUAAGAUUGAAUGCUGAGCAAAUGUCACCCAUACACUUUUAGUUUGCGGAAGGUGGGCAAGUAGCCAGAAAAUUUGUGAGUGAUGUUCCAAUAAAAAUAUCCAAGUGAAAGGAAAGAGUGUUCAUAAGAAUUGGCCAACAAGUAUCUUUCGAUACCCGAAGUCACAUUCGUGACAACUUUUCUAUUAAUUUUUUUUUUUUUUUAUCUCUAGUGUUGAAUUGUGUGUUGAGGAAGUUGAGUGGUAUAAAUUUCUUACUUAUCUCGUGCUAGCCAAAGUAUUUUAUCAUAGUAGAUCCUUUGUUUUCCAAGUUUUGAACAUGUCUCCUUAUUUCCUCCCCAUUUUUACUUUAAUAAUUGCUGAAAAUUCCUCUUUUGAAUUUUACUUCUUUAUCCACUUUCUCUUCUUCCACAAUAUUUUUUCCUCUCUUUUUAUCUCUUUAUCCUUUUUUCCCUGACAUUUCAAACUUUUUUUUCUUUGGAGGAGGGGGUAGAGGGGAUGGACAAGAGUCCAACCUCAACAAUGGAGUAAAGAUGAGUGGAUACAAUAGUAGAGCAAAGACAAAUGAUAUAGAUUGUAGAGUAAAGACAAACAUAAAGAGUUUGAAUAUAAUAUUCAACCUUGAUAUAAUAAGGCCAAAUGAAUGUGAUAGUGGAAUGAGACUAAACAUAAAUGGUAGAGUAAAGAUGAGUGCAACGAGUUUGAACAAAAUCAGUGCUUCAAAAAAAAAAUUCCUUCGAGGAAGAGAUAAAGAGGAUGUGGAGGACGAAUAAAGUAAGUCCAACCUCCCAUGUGUAGUGUUGGACGAGGAUGAUAGUUAUGAGUUUAAGUUAACAUAGGUUUUGGAUGUUGACCGAAGGGAAAACCCGAAAAUAAGUUUUGCUUAUAGUUAUAAGUCCAAGUUACUAAUGGUCUUGGAAGAUUAUAUAUAUAUAUGUAUGUGUGUGUGUUUAUAUAUACAUACCUUAGCUAAGUAAUACACUAAUUAUAUUACUAUAGCAUAUGGACCAUCUAUUUAAAAUUAAAUCUGAUCCAUCCAUUCUUGUAUAUAAGUAGAGGUGUAAACCCAAAUUAAUAUAUCUAUUCCCAUAUCCUAAGCACUCACACUAUUUUCUCCUUUUUUCAUAUUUUUCAAGCAUUUAUUUUGUCUCAACCUGAGACAUCUUCUUGUUAUAGUGUUUUUUCUUAUGUGCAGUAUUUUCUUUUCCUAGCAUAUUAAUCUCUUGUAAUUUAUAAUUUUUCUUCUUUAUCAAACUUCCUUGACUCAAUACACAUGUCUUCCAUGACAAGUCCUCCAUGACCCAGUAUGAAUUCACUAACCUAUUUGCUCUAGUGAAUCCAUCAAUGAGGAUUAUUGCCAUUUACCCACUUCUAGACAGCCUCUCAACCUUAUCCAUGUUGAAGAACUUUGCAAAAUCAAUCUAUUAAACACCUAAUUCUUCUCUAUCAUCUUCUUCAUAUUAAAACAUUGUUUUACCUUUGUUGACCUAAGUCAACAAACUUUUAAAAGAGCACAUGGUAUCAUAUACUAGAAAAAGUGUACAAGCAAAGAAAAGAAAGAAAAACAAAGGAAAAGAGAGGUAAAGAUCAUGAUAUUAUAAUAUCAGCAUUGGAGAAAGCAUGAGCUUGGAUUUUUACCUUAAGGUGGUAGCAACUCCUUUCAUCUAGAAGUUUAUGCAUUUUUCAGUUCUUAUGAAAGAUCAAUACAUGGAUAAUAUCAAAAUCAUAUAUUAGAGUCUUAAUUAUCAAUGAAUAAAUCUUAGAUUAGAACACAAAAGUAUUCCAAGUAAGUUAUCAUCCGAUAAACUAGAAGUAUAGUAUAGAAACCACCAAGAUCAUCAUAAUUGAUAAAGACAUGAGUCAUUAUCCAACAACAUUCAAUAGCAAGUACAUCAUCAAGUAAACUCAAUGAAAAAACUUAACUACCAAAGAUUGUAGAUAGUAUACCAAACAAGUUACCAAAAACAUCUCAAGGAACACAAGUAUCAUUGACUGGCAAGCAAAAUGCUCGCAAAUGUAUUACUCGAAGGAAAUAACAUCCAAAUCUAUUAUAACUAACUCAAGCAACAAUUAACAGAAUAAAAUGAAUGUUGCAAAACUAACAAACAUUCAUUCAUGCCAACUAUCACACUAGCCAAUCUAAAUAGAUCUUGAUCAAUAAUACCAAGGAACCAAAGUUGCUUAAGCAAGGUUUUUAGGUUUUCACUAUAUAAUUUCACUCUAUUUGCCAUCUCCAUCAUUCUAGAUUAUUCACAGUCACAAUCCAUUUAUUCAAUUACUCUCUCUAACACUAUUUAUUACUUGUUAUAGUUGCCCACCCACUUUACACACACUUCUAACUAUGCAUACAUGCUCUUAUUUGCACAAAUCCAAAACACUUAGUGGUUGAUUUAUGAAUACUAGUCACACUUAAUGCACACAAGAGACCAACCAUGACUAUGGGCACACAUUGUACCCAAACCCACAAAUUGGGGAUUAGGUAUAGUAAUUUUCUAUGUAGACAUACAUAUUUACAAGAUUUAUAUCAAAGCUUUAUUUUAAGUAUAAGUAUUUGAAGUGACUUACUAAUAAAAAAUAGAAUUUUAAAAUAAUUUCUUCAUUUAAAUAUUCUUAUAUUCUCAUAGAUGAAAACUUUAACUUAAAUAAUGAAAUAAUAAUUAUUUACUUUAAAAUUAUCUAUCUAAUACAUCAAUAUGAUCUUAUAAUAAUAAAUAUAAAAAUAAACUAUAUGAAUUUAAUAUUACACUUACUAGAAACAUUAAUGAAAAGAAAGUUACAAUAACUACCAUAUGAAUGUCCUACAAAAAACUUAUAUAUUUGAAUAUAGAAUUAAGAAAAACUAAGGAAGUUUGAACAACAUGUAUUUCAAGAAUUUGGUUUUAUAUGUUUUAAUUUGAUAUUCAAGUUGUGUUAUUGAGAAAUGUUAUACACAUAUUUGACAAUGAAUUCUUUGCAUCAUAGUAGCUUUAGAUAGAAAGAAGAUGUAUAAAUUUACAAAUGGGGGGUAAAGAUGUAUUUGAAGAUGUAUUAGUAUGACAAGCUCGUUGUUUAUAAAAAUUUUGACGUGUUCAACAACUAAAGCUUGAUAUAUGGUAUAAAUACAUGUGUUAAUUGAAAUUUAUGAAUUAUUAAAAAAUUAUGAUAUUCAAACUAUUUUUGGAUGACUUUUUAAUAAUUCUAUAUUAUUGAUAAUACUGACUAAAUUCUAAAGUAGGAUAGUCACAUAAUAAAAAUCAUGUUGCAAAGCUUUAAGAUGUUCCUAAUAUUUUUUAAAAUAUUAAUGUUUAUAAAAUAUAAAAAACAUAUAAUAUUGUAAGCUCUGUAGUAUAAAAGAUGGUUAGCUACUGUCUUAUAAUUUAAUUCUUCAUACUAUUACUUAUUUAUUUUAAUCCAUUGGACUGUUUUGAUAACAUUUUUAGUCUAUGGUAUCCUUAUGGUUUUAAUCACUAUCAGAGGCACCUGUCCAAGCAAGAUCAAGACUGCAAUUGCUAAUUGAAUUUGAAAAUGACUCCAAGAGAAAACAUUAUGAAGUAAUCCAAACUUUUUCCUUGUUAUAUCACUCAUAUAUUGUUCUUCAAACUCCUCUCUCCUCACCUCAACUCUUUUUUACUUCUAUACUUCUUUCUUAUUUUCCUCUUUCUUCCCUUUAUAAUUUUUACUUGUACUUUUAAUGCUCAACCAAAUUAUCAUUCUCAUAAGCCUCUAUCCACUAACUAAGUUUUUCCUCUCUUUUGUUCUUUUUAUUGGUGUCCCUCUUUUCAAGCUACACUAUUCUUCCUUCAAACUCCUAAGAUUUUCUUAUCUAAUUUUUUUAUUUUUUUAAUUAUUUUUUCUUUUAUCUUUAUGUGUUUGCCUUAUGUAACUUUAUUUUUCUUUAUAUUUAGAUUAUUUUUAUUUAUUUAUUUUAAUUUUUUGUUUCAAUUUAUUUUUUCUUGCUUAUCACUUCUACUUGUUUUUGUAGACGAAGAAAUGUAAUAUUUUGUAAAAUAGUAUUUGAGAUCUAGAUAAAGUACCAAACUUAGAUGUUUUGAACUUAAACACUUAAAGCUUUUCUACUAAAUGAAUCAAGAUAAAUAAUUUGCAUUUAUGUUUUCUAUUAAUGAUUUUCAUAAAUAUAUUCAUAAAAUCUCUUUGUUAUUCAAGCACUGCUAGUGAACAUUGUUAUGUAUAUAAUCGGCAUUUAAGAAUUACAAAUGGUGAGUAUUGUCGUGCUUCAAUAGAUAUGUUAAAUGAAUGGACUAGAAAUCCAUACAGAGUAACUUAUACUCACUACUCUCAAUAUCUUAUUUUUGAUUUAGUAAUAACAUCAUCUCAGGAUAUUGUAGAAACUAGAAGUGAUAUUAUACAAGCUAUAAGAUUUAUACAAAGAAAUUGUAUUAGACAUCAAAUAGGGGGUUAUGUUCAACUUAUAAAUCGGUCUCUAUAUUUAUCAGUACAAAUAACAUCCAUCUGAAUUAAAUUCAUUACAAGACUAGAAAAUCAUUAAUUGGGAUAUUUAUUAAAGUUAUUUAUCAUUAGACUCAAACAGUUUCAGACAUUUUCUUGCAAGAUAUCAAGAGAUAUAAUAGAUCAAUAAGGAUUCUUAGCAAUAGAUAUUGAAGUAUUUCAAUAAAUAAAUAGAAUAUAUCUUUGUAUGGUAUUUAAAAAUAUAUUAUCUGUAUUUAUUAUUAGAUCAAUAUGCAACUGAUAUUCUUUGGAAUAUACUUAGGAAUGCCCUAAAUUUGUAGUAGGCGCCAUGGUGCUGCGGUGCGCCCUCCUCCAGCUCCAAUCAUCCGCAUUUCGGCGCUAUGCCACUGUAAGUACCUCACAUCGCAUCACAGCGCUUUAUCCUACGAGAUAUCGAGCGAGGCAGCAGCAUUUCAGCACAGGCCUGAGCUCCGGCACAAGCGCCACGGGUGGAUUUCCUUCUCCUUCCCCGGUCUCGGACGAGCACUCCCUGAGUGUGGCUAGUAUGACGAUCGCUUUCGACAGGGCGCUGCUGGAGCGGCGAACGGAGGAUGCUGUGUUUGCGGUAGAUGGGCUUAGAAGGAAAGGCUCGUUUCCAAGCCGGGAUAGUCUCAGCACUCUGAUAUCGCAGCUAGCCUACAAGCAGACACCGCUCAGUCUUUCCCAGGCUGAUAGAUUGAUCCAAGACUUGGUGGCGUCGCGCAGAGAGGAUCUCUUGGAUCAAAACAGCCUCUCGCUUCUAGCGCUCGCCUACGCCGGCGUUGGCAUGGCCAACUUCUCUCGGUCGACUUUGCGGCUCAUGUUCCAGACCGGGCUCUAUCCUCCGGUGAGAGUCUGGACAGCGGUGGUGAGCAAGAUCGCCGAGAGUUUCUCCGAGGCUCCAGCGGCCCUGGAGCUUUUCAAAGAGAUUUGCAAGCUCACGGGUGGGACUGUGGACGCGAGCAGUAGAGAGCCGUGUAAGAUGGUGGAGGAGCCGGACCCGGUGGCCAGGAUCAUCAAGUUGAUGGACUUUGCAAUGAUGCCGAAAGGCAACGAGGAGCUCUUGGUUUCGAUGAGGCCGGACGUCACGUCGUUUAACUCGGCUCUCCGGAUCUGUGCGACGCUGGCCGACACGCAGAAUGCCGAGGAGAUUUUCCACAGCAUGAGCUUGUUUGGUGUGCUUCCAAACAGCGACUCGUUUGAGCUGCUUAUCAAGGUUUAUGGGAAGGCCAGGCGAUUCGACUUGUUCCGGAAGGUUCCACAGAGAAUGGAGGCUGCCUGCGUCAGGCCCAGUGCGUCGACUCUCAAGGCUCUCAUCGACGCUUAUGUGGAGUCGGGCAACAUAGAGGAGGCCGAGAAGGUUUUGCAAAAGACGGUGCAAGGGAAGAGCAGCUUGUGGAACCUUGUGAAGCUGGAAGGAGACGUCUACAACAGCUUACUCAAGGCGUAUGCGUUAGAAGCGAGGCUGAGCGACGCUGCCAACCUUUUGAGCAGCGUGCCUCUCGAGGACGCAGGGACGGGGCUGGAUCAAGCCAGAGUCGUGGCGAGCAUGAUAGCGUCGGGAAUGCUCAAGGAGAUUUGCUCCAUUCUUCAGUACAUGCUACAGCACCGGAUGGAAGUCUCGUUCUCGGCCUACAAGUCGCUAAUGCACGGGUUCUGCGCCAACAAUCAGCUGGACAAGGCGGCGAGCUUUAUAAUCCUGAUGAAGAGAGCCGGGAUCAAGCCCGACUGUUCCAUCUACGGCCCUCUCAUCCAGGGACUCGUGAGGUGCCGAGACAGGCUACUCGCUUAUCACACGUUUCUGGAGAUGGUCGAGGCGAGAAUCGUUCCAGACGAGGCAACUUACGUCUCCUUGCUGAAGGCCUUGACGGUGGAAGAGCGAGCGAGCAAGAUGGUUAGAGUGCUGGAGGCGGUGAUGGAGUUCCCGAGCGUCAAGAUCAGCCUCUUCUCCUGGAACUUGGUGAUCGAGUACUGCUCGAAGAAGAAGCUGAUAGGGGACGCGCAGAGGAUGCUGGCUAGGAUGGCUCCGGCGGGUGUUCAGCCGGAUAGCUACUCGUACUGGUACGUUGUCAAGGGGCUGAUCACGCGGAGCCGGCUGACAGACGUUCUGGGACUUUGGCCACAGAUACAGUUUGCAUCGAGGAGAGAUCGGCCAAACAGGAUAAUCCUCCACAAGCAGCUCGUGGAGACGCUCAUGUAUGCGUUCGUGAAGGGUGCCAACUUCGCCCAAGCGCUGGAGCUUCUCGAGUAUGCCAAAGAGGAGGACAUCCCACUGGACAGGGAAGCGUUCAAGGACUUGUUCCUCAAGUACCACUCGCAUCGUUUCACCAGCAAGCACAAGUCUCCGUUGAGAGUUUACGGGCGCCAGCAGCAGCUCCUGGAGAUGGAGGAGUUUAAGAAGUGGCUCAGCCUCGGUGCGGUCAAAACUCCUGCUCGCUAUGCUAAGUACGUAAUCCAUCUUUGUUUUUUUAAUUUGUUGUUUGCUUGGUUGCUUAUUUCUUUGUUGGACUUUGAGCAGGAUUCUGAAAUAUGGACCAUUCAAACGCGAUGAAGGGCCGUUCUUUUAAAAUUGUAAAUAUGUUUCUGGCAUCAGAAGUAGGGAGUCUGGCUAUUAUCUGAGAGGAGGAGGAGGAGAUGGUGGAAUGCACUCAAGCUCUUUCGUUUGGUUCAUGUGAAGUGAGCAGAUUGAUAAGUCCUUCAAUUUAAAGGAUAACUCUGCAAACUCGAAAAAUGGAGAAUGAAUGGAGAAUGACACUACUGACAGCACAGGAAGAUUUUGUUCAUUACAGAACUUGUCUUGGAGAAUAUGUUGUACAAGUGAGCAUGAGGUUGUUGGCAUUGAUGGCAUUCCAAGUCCCAGCCACAAAUACUUUAGUCAUCCUCACAUGAGCAUGACUAAGAGCAUGCAUGGCUCAUACUCUACUCUAUGUAAAGACUCAAUCUAUAUGGCACAAAUGGGUAACAAACUCAUUUUUUAUUCUAACUUUUGUGUUAUUAUUAAUGUUAACACUGGUGCAAUCAUAAUAACAGCUCCAAGAGAGUAAUCUUUAUUACUUGGGGAAUGAACAAUUCAAUCUUGCCACUGCCAACAAAAACAACACUGAAAUAUGGCAUUUAAGAGUUGGCUAUUUAAGUCUUAAAGAGUUUAAAAACUUUUGAAGGCAUGGUGACAAGCCUAACUCUUCCUAUUUCUUCCACUAUCAGCUUGUGAAGCUUGUGUUUUGGGGAAGUAACAUGGAAAAUCUUUUACCGAAGAAGACGAAGAAGAAGAAUAAGAAAAAGAAGAAGAAGGGUGAGCGGGUGGUCGGUGGGUCAUCACGAAGAGGGCUCCUGGCUGGUGGCCUCCCCUCGAUGUCGAGCCACUCUGAUGCUGGGAUGGACACGACGGGUGCUGCUCUCUGUCCGGGGCUGUAUAUGGUGAUGGGUGGCAGCAGUGGCAGUGCAUGAUUGGUUCAUAUGCUAUUAACCCCUUAGAGCUAAUUAAAAAAGAUUUUCUAGAGAUUACUUUACAGCUUCAUAUCCACUUGUCAUAGGCAAAAAUUCCAUGAAAAAACAAGUGACAAAGAAAGAAAAAAUUUGGUGCAUGAUCACAUGGUUGAGUUGUCUUUAGCUCUUUUUUUUUCAUAUCACUGAUGAAAAGUUGUAUUCUUAUAAAUCAUGUAGCCCCUUUUAAUUUUGGAUUUCCAUUUUUCUACAAUCACCAUUAGCCAUUCUCCUCAAACAAUUGCCAAGGCCUUUUCAUUAAAAGUGUCACUAGCACUAGCUUAUAUCCAGACACUACAACACGAGCACAUUUCUUGAGAAAUCCUUGUCUAGAUCUUUAUAUUGGAUUUGUGAACUGGUCAGAAGCAUCAAUCAUGGGUAAUGCUGAUAUAACCACAAAAUAAAUUAGAACCAUCAAAAAUUAAAACCAAAUGGCAAACCAAAAAACCAAACACUCAGUUAAUUAAGAUAAUUCAAACUUUUUGGGAGAAAUAAGAAUGCAAGGCUUAAUAAGAAAAAUGAAUAUUUUUUAAUUUUUUUUUGUAUUCUAUGUAUUUACAGAUGUUCUGUAUUGUUUUCUAAAGUUAAAUUUCACUUUCUUUCUUUUUCUUUUAACGUUUUUUAUUUAAAUUUUUCUCUUCUAAUACAUAUUUUAUACACCUUUAUUUAUUAAUUUAUUAAUUACAUUUUUAUUUUUAUUUUUAUAUUUUAAUAUAUAAAUAACAUGGCAGUAAGGAUUAAUAAAGGCUUAACUUUGUGAUUUAUUAGCUUAAAAUUACAUGCCAUUAGUGUUAAAUAUUAUAAAUAAUGAUUAAAAGUUUUUAAAUAAUAUGUGUUAUAAUAUUUUAUUUUUAUUUUAUGUAUAUAAUUUUAUAAAAACUUUUGGAUACUCCAGCCUGCUAUAGAAUCUUGUUAUACAAAUUGUUAAUAUUCAAGAAUUAGUAACAGUGAAUAUUGUAAUGUUUCAACAUGUAUGUUAGCUCAAUGAACUAAAGAUCUAUUUAGAAGAAGGUAUAGAGAAAACUUUUUAAAUCUUAGACUUGUUUUAGUAACAUUAACAAGAGCAACUUGUCAUCUUAUAAAAACUAGAAGUGACAUUGAACAAGCUAUAAGAUUUAUAAAAAUAAAUUGUAUUAAAAAUAAUUUAGGGGGAUAUGUUAGACUCAGAAAUCGAUCAUUAAUUUUAUCAGUAGAAAUAACUCCUUUUCAAUUAAUUAUGCUACAAGAUCAAGAUUUUAAUUUCACAUGAAUACAUUUCUUAUAUUAAUAAUUAUAAACAAUGACACAUACUUGUAUCUUAUAUAGGAUAUUUGUGAACUGCUAACCAUUAAGUAGAUUGAUAGUUUAUAAAAUCUUACUAUUAGUUAAAUUGAUAGUUUGUGAAGUCCCACAAUUGUGCAAAUUGAUAGUCUCUCUUUACUAUAGUGUAGCAUAUGUAAUGUAUAACUUAAUUUUUGGUAAAUAAUGAUAAUUGAGCUUUUAUGGUGUAAGUGUUACAUAUACUGAGGUAAAACCAAAAUUAUGAUUCAAUAUUGUACAAAAUUAAAUAUGUGUAAAGGUUUAUAAUAUAUAUUUUACUAGACUAAGUUUGCAUGCACUACCAAAUAACUAAUGAUUCACAUGUUUUACCUUUGACCUAUUUUUAAAUAUUUCAAUGAAAAGUGAGUCAGCUAGAAUUCCUAAUGACAGCAAAUGUACAAAUUAGAAGUUUGUGAGGCACAUCCCAUGCAAUUGAAAUAAAUGCAAGUUGUUAUUGCCUCAUUGUUAGAAGUUCUUGCAUCUAUAAGCAACAUUAAAUUAGACAAAUAGUACUAAUUUAAUGAGCCUAUUUAAAUUUUAUAAUUUAAUAAUGCUAAAGUUAUGUCAUUUGGGCUAAUCCUAAUGUUAGAAAUUCUUAACAUUAAAAUCAUUAAUUAAAACAUUCAUUUAAGAGUUUUUACAGCCUUCCUUCCUUUUCAUUGGGAGGUGGUGGUCCAUUCAUGGGGCCACCAUAAGCAUUGCACAAACACCUAUAAUAGGCAUCUCAUUGGGCUAAAUUCAUGACACUAAUGCACUUUUAUGGGUCAGCCCUACCUCUAGCUUGCUACCAAACUACCAUAGGUGUGUAGAAGAAGGUGGAUUGGUUUUUUUUUUUUAAAUCUCCCUCUGGGGAGCUGAAAUAUAGAGGUGUAAUAUGUCUAAAAUUUGUGUAUAAAAAGGUUUUAUAUAUAUAUAUAUAUAUAUAUAUAUAUAUAUAUAUAUAUAUAUAUAUUAGCUAAAUGGAACUACUUUCACUUUCCAUUAAUAACUACCAAUCUAAAAAUAAUAGCCUCAAAGCUAUAAUAUUAAUAAGAUAUUCUUCUAAUAGAUUAUACCUGCAUGCUGAAUAAGAAAAGAAGUGAACAUCAACAGUUAUAAAAUAAACAAUAUUAACAAGAGAACCAUAAUUUUUAUGCUUCUCAUCUAACAAAUUAAAUUAACUUUAAAUUUUAUUUAUUAUCCUAUUUUAAUGAUAAAUUAAGUAGUAUUAACUCAUAGAUUAAUAUUUGACCCUAAGUACAUUUAUGUAUGUAAAACAUAGAACUUGGCCUAUAAAAUUAACCUAAAAUAAGUUAAUGUAUGUUCAAAUGCUUCAAUGGCCUUUGCCAUGGAAUUGUCCACGACUUUCUGGAUGAAAUCAAUGUCUUUGCCUUGCUUCUUAAGAACCAAUGCAAGGCUCUGUCAAGAGCAAGAAAGAAAGAAACAAAAAAUCACUUCUUGCAAACAAAAAUGCUCUCUGAAGCUUACCUGGAAUGCUCUAAGGAACAGAGGAUCCACCUUUAUGGCAUCUUCAAACUCCUUGAGAGCAUUGUCCAAAUCUCCAAUGUACUCGUAAGCAUGGCCAUAGAUGAAUCUAAACUUUAACUAUGACAGAUACAUGUUGAUGAGCUUGGAAAGGACCUUGAUCACCACUCGCAUGUCCUUAUUUAGCUCUAAACUUUAAUUUUUAUAAAUUUCAACCAAAAAUUUUAAUUACGCCUAAUAUACUUCAAUUCACUAAUUUAAUUUAAGUGAAAAGGUUGAAGGAAUUAUAUGUUUUAAGUGAUCAUACUAAUAGUCAUCUUUGUUCUUCAUGCUCAAAGAAUAGACAAGUCCUUGUAGAAGCAUUACUAGUAUGAUUAUUUGGGUAGUGGUGAGUUUGAUCAAAUGGUGAUGAUGAGGAUUGUUUGCUGAUGCUCAUGCUCAUGCUCAUAGAAGCACUCCAUGGAAGUUUGGAGAAAUGCAUGGGUUUUUAUACAUGGUGGUGGUGAAAGAUUGCUAGUGGCACUACUCUAGAGGGAUCAAGAUGGCACCAAUAACACUAAAAGAUCUACUUACAUAGGCCACUAUGGUUGAUAUCACUUUAAGUUGAGCAUUGCCUCUUUGUCCUUAGACGGGGUAAGCAAUAGAACCAAGAACAUCCCAAAUCUCUUCAGCUGCUUCAUAGUUAUAGAGGCCAUCAACUUAGAGAAUAAUAAAACAAACAAAAUCUAGCUAAGCCAUAAACCCAAGAUCCAAAAAAAGGCAGAUGUCUAUCUUUAUCUUUGAGUUCUAGCUUUGAUUUUCUAAUUAUAAUACAAUUUCAAAAUAAAGAUUCUUCAAAUAAAUCUACUAAAUUGAAAGUAGUUCAAUUUAAAAUUGUCAUUCAAAUUGCAAAGUGGCAAAAUCAAGCCAUUAAAAAUACUCAUGCAAUGACUAACAAAUGUGUCCUUAACAUAAAAGCCUUACCUGGUUCAUUAAAGAAUACAAAGGAGCUUAGAAUCAAAGAGGACUUUGAGCCACAUGCUUUCAUGGUAGACUCUAUGCUAUGAAAGGGGUUUAUUGCUAUUGACCCCAAAGGAAUUCUGACAUAGGGCAACUACAUAGAAGAGUCAUAUUUUGAAGUAUUAAUUUGGAAUAUGCAUAGUGAUGUAAAUGUGGAUCCCUAAUCAUUAUUGUGGUCCUAUCAUUCUUACCACUACCUCUACUAAUGCCACAAGGGCGAAAAAAUUGAUGCUCUUUGUAAAAAAAUGUUUUGGCCAUUUCACUCUACAAAAAUGGGUGAAAUUUUGAUAUGCCUUUUAAAUUAAUUAAAUUUCUUCCAUUGAAUUAAAAUAAAUAUUCUUUCUGAAUAUUCUUUUAUAGGCUAGAAUAUUUUAGGUUGAUUAGAACUCUUGCUACUUCCAAGAGUCUGAUCAUACUCCUUACUCCUUCUGCUUUCAAAGGAUAGGAUGAAUGCCCUUUUUCUCAACAAGCUAAUUUAGUCAAGAAAUGUAUAAACCCUAUUACAACAAGAAUUACAUAUACUGCCUUCUUAUUAGUGUUUGUUACAAUAGGAACCAUUUAUAAUGACUAUUGAGCACAAUCCAAUCAGGACAAGUGAAGAAUCUUUUAGCUUUGUUUUUUUUCUUCACUUAUAUUUUACUUUCUCUCUUUUUGUUUUGAGAAUUUUUUUACCAUUCUUAAAAAUAGGCAAUUUCUUUUUUUUUUUCAAUUGAAGGGGAGAUUUGAAAAUCAUAUUUCAUCCAAAAAUCAAACCCCACCCUUCAAAUUUAUAUCUUGAUUGCUAUUGUGGGAAAGAUCCCACCACAUAGGAUUUUAAGCAAGAAUUCUUAUCAUUGCCACCAUCACCAUAUCUAGUAUUAUUGUUAGAAAGACUCCUAUUAUAUAGAUGUUUCUUGGUGUUAUCAGGAUGCUACUUUUGCAACUCCUCAUCCUUAAGUGCUCAAGCAUCCAUGAACAAUUCCUCUAGUGACUUGGAAGCUUGAAUAGACUUUAUAAGUUCACAUAUGUUGCAAUUACACAAUUGUAGAAAUUCAAAUAGAUCUCAUGAGCUAUACUGGAUUGAAUCAUGAUAAGUACAAGGAAAAUGAGAAUAAAAAGAAGAAAGAAAGAGGAAGAGGUCAGCCUCAAGCUUUGGCUCCACUUUGCCUCCAUAUAUCACCUUCUAACAUUACAUCCCCUCCCAAAAAAGUUUAGUUGGCCCCUCAGCUUCUGUUGGUAAAAUGAGAGACCAUUAGAAGGUCUCAUAUAGGAACUUAAGUUGAUCAUGAGUGAUCCAAGUAUCUGUGGUAGAGUCAAUUCCAGCCCAACAAACCCAAAAAUAAGGAAUUCGUCAUCAGCAUAAGUUGUGAUAAACCACCUUGACCACAUGAUUUGGCUGAAGCAAAGUUUGAUCCUCACAAACUUGCUAAGGGAGAGGAACACUAGAUGAUGUAGUAGCUGCUAGAGGUCCCAUAUAGAAUUUCAACUCCGAAACAUAUAAGACAUCAUGACAAUGCUAGCAACUGCAACUUGUAUGCUACCUCAUUCACAUGCUCCAUAAUCUCAAAAGGCCUGAAGAACAUUGGAUGGAGCUUGGAAUGAGCAGUAGCAUGAUGACUCAAGGUGUUGUUCUAGGUGAAACUUGACAUAAACCCAGUCCCCAACCUGGAAUUCUCAAAAAGAAUGAGAUUUGUUAGCUGAAACUUUCAUAACAUGGUGAACCACUUCCAAACAACAAUGCAACUGCUACUAAAAAUUCUCCAUCUCAUGAAUAUGGAGGAGCAUGUCAGAGGCAUGAACCAUCUCACCCAGAAUUGGAAACUUGCAAACCUCUUUGCCAUAUAACACCUUGAAAAGAGCUAUAUCAAUAGCUGAAUGGAAAGUUGUGUUAUAUACAAACUUAGCAAAAUGCAGCUACUAAAGCUAAGAAUAUGGUUUGUCUAAUAUAAAGCUGUGAAGAAAAACCUCCAACGUUUGAUUGGUGCACUUUGUUUGGCCAUCACUUUGAGGGUGAUAGGCACUAGAAAAAUUCAACUGGAUGCCCAAGUGCCUAAACAUGGAUGUUUAGAAUAUACUCAUGAACUUAGUAUCCCGGUCUGAGACAAUAGCCUGAGGAAGUCCAUGGUGACAAAUGACUUUCAACCAAAACACCUCGGCAACUUUUUUAGCUGAAUUGGUUGUGGGCCACAUUUGUAAAAUGGUCUACCACCAUGAAGAUGGAAUCAUAACCUCGCACUAUCAGAAUGCCAACAAUAAAGUCCAUAGAAAUGCUGUAAAAAGAGGCUGUAGUUGAUAGUAAUGGCAAAAGAAGUUUUAGAGUAACUAUAAUUUCUACCUUCUUGACUUGACAAACUUGCAUUUUUGGAUCUAUUCCCAAACCUCCCUUUGCAAGCCCUUCUAAUAAAGCCAUUGUCGAAUAGUAGUUGUAGUUCCCCUGACUCUUGGAUGUCCAACCAAAAGAUUGGAGUGACAUUCCCGGAAAAUAUCCUUGAUGACUAGCACUCAAAAUGAUCAUACCUUUCCUUUGUGAUAUGUAUACUUAUCAUGAGUGUAGUCAUUGUUAGAAUGAAAAGAAUGCUAAAUUGCUACUAAGUCUAGAUUUGAUUUGUAUCCUUCCUAAAUUUUGUUAAUAUAUGCAGUUAGAAAUGCUAGAUAAAGAGGAUGUUUUUAGUUGCUUAGAGCAGUGCAAUAGAGCAUCAAGAAGGAUAUUACUUUUUCUUGGGCAAAAUUAAUUGUAAAGUCCAAAUCUUAGAGAAUUUCGACCCACCACUAUUGUUUCUUGAAGAGAUGUUGUUGCUCCAAGAUAAACUUAAGACUAUAAUGGUCAGUGCAAAGAAUGAAAUGUUUAAGCAAAAGAUAAUGCCACCAUCUUUUAUAUAGCAUGGAUGACUACAAGCAUCUUUUUCUUAUAAACAAGGAGGUGAGACUACAAGACUAAAACAUAUUGGCUAUCAAAAGCUAUAAAGUCAUCUCCUUGAUAAAGAAUUGCACCUACACUUGCAUCUGAUACAUCAGUCUCAAUAAUGUAUUAUUGCAAAAAUCUGGAGUAAAGGUAUUGUUAGCUAAAUUUGCUUCAAUGUCUCGAAUGAAAGCUGAGCUACAUUGGACCACGAGAAAUCUGAUGAAUGAAGAAUAUCACUAAGUGGUGCAACAAUUGAUACAAAAUCCCGAAUAAAGUGUCGGAAGUAAUUUAUGAACCUAUAAAAAGCUCAUAGUUUUUUUAUUAACUUUGGGACUAGCCAAUCUAUAACCACUUGAAGUUUAGAAGCAUCAACCCAUACCUUUCUAUGCUUACCAUAAAAUCCUAAGUAUUGUAAAGGAACACUUUGAAAGCUUAGAAAAUUUCCUUCCAAAACCAAGUGUAAACAAUUAAAGAAAACAAUUUAAAAGAUGAUCUAUAAAUUUCAAAUAUAGAGCGAAAGGGCCUAUGAAUAAAAGUACACCCCUUUUUUCAAUCAGUUUUAGGGGUUUUGAGAUACUUGGGGUUAAGUGUUCUUGGGUUUGAAUAGUAUUGGGUUGGAUGACUUAUCAGGAAGUCCAAAAUCCAAGAACUUAUAUUUGGUAUUAGAGGGGUUUCAAGUCUAAUUCUAUUGGUUAGCUUAGGGGGAGGGGUAGGGUGUCAAGAGAGUGGUGCUCUCAGCUUUUAUUCAUGAGGGUGUGAAUUUGUAGGGAAGCAUGGUGAAUUUAUAGGGUUUAAAUAUAGAAAGAAAAAGCCCAUGAAUAAAAGUGCACCCCCUUUUUUAAUCGAUUAAGGGUUUUGGGAUAUUUGGAGUUAACUGUUCUUGAGUUUGAAUAGUAUUAGGUUAGGUGACUUCUCAGGAAGUCCAAAAUCUAAAAGCUUACACCGAGAGGAUGUUCUCAACAUGUCAUAAGUGUUCAAACCAAUCUAUGCUAUAAAUCAAAAUAUCAUCAAAGGAAAUAAUAAUGAACUAGAAGAGAUACUUAGCUAACAAUCUAUUCACCAUGCUUUGGAACAUAACUAGGACAUUAGUGAAACCAAGUGGCAUCACUUAGAACUAGAAUAGUCCACAAUACGUCCUAAAAGCUAUAUUGGGUCAUGCAUAACAAUUUAGUAAUAACUGGAACAAAGAUCAAAUUUUAAGAAGUACUUUGUCUAUCCAAGCUCAUCCAAUAGUUCAUCUACCUGUGGAAUUAGAAACUGGUUUUUAACUUUAAUCCUGUUCAACACUUUAUAGUCCACCACCAACUGCCAAGAUCCAUCCUUUUUCAUCACCAACAAAACUGGUGAUGCAAAUGGACUAAAACUCUCCUAAACCAAACCCUCUUGCUGUAGUUCAUCUACCAUGUAAUCAGUGAUCAUUUGCUCCUUGCAACUUAUAUGUAUAGCUGGAGAGUUCACUGCUACUAAAUGCGGCUCCAACUCUAUUCAAUACAUAAUACCAACCACUUUGCUACUAUUGCCCAUAAUGCACUUAGAAAACAUGCUAAUAUGUCACUUAGCCACCUCUUUAAGCUCUAGAGCCAUAUUUGUCAAAAAUGUCUAAAAUAGCCUCAUCUAAUAUUGCAGUCUUUGUUCUCAUCUGAUCCUCUUGAAGACCUAGAUCAACUUGCUGGUUGUGGCUUGUUCCCAAGGACUCAUGAUGCACUGCCACUUUCUUUGCUGCUUUUUUUUGGUGCUUUGGCCUCCAAAAAAUCAAAUCUCCAUUGCUUUCUUCGCAGUGCUUUUCCACUAUUUGUGCACCAGGCUAGAGUUAAAAGCUUGAGCCCUAUUGCUUUUUUCACAGUGUGUUGCUACUUUCUUCCCACCCGGCUCAAGCUGCCCACCUAGGUCCUUACUACUUUCUUCACAAUGUUUAUCUGCUUUCCUCACACUUGGACCCAUGAAAUCGCUCUGGAGUGCCCUCAAUUCCUGAAGGUAUGAUAUAAACGAAACUCGUUGCAUGCCUUCGAAUAAACCCUAAACUAGCUCCAAAAGUCUUGCAUUUUAUGGUACACAAGACAUUCCCCACCACCUUAGAUUAACUGUUGACACUGAGAUGUAGAAGCUUCUCGUACUUUGGAAAAGGAAUGAACCCCCCUUCAUUCAACUUGUUGCCCUGCAAAGGUGAAUGAGAGUCUUUGAUCUGUGAAGUUGACAGUUAUGUCUCUAAAUCUCUACAGCAUUUGCACUCCCAAGACUAUAUCAACCACUCCCAUCUCCAUAACAUAGAAGGUCUCCAUAAAAGAGAAUGAAUCCAUUUGGAAGAGUAUGUAACAACUCGAUCCAUGUGGAUCAUUCCUCCAUUGGCAAUUUUGACCUCCAAGGGAAUAUGAGCUAGUUGAGUGGAAAUACACAAUCUAGAUAGUGAUUGGGCAUUGUUAAAGGAAUGAGAUGUGCCAGAGUUUACCAAAGCAAAUACUUGUUGUUCUUGACUCUAAUACACUAUAGACCUGUUUUCCCUAUGAAGGAUGGGAGUGAGAUGGUAGCACCCAGAAAUGCUCCAUCCCCAUCUCCUUGAGUUGAAGUUUUGCCUUCCCACACAAAGAUAUCAUACUGGAAAUCCAAGUCUUUGAAUGCCAUUGGAAUUAAAUCUCCUGCUUUGUUGUGUCCCUAUGGUUGUCUUGCACAAGCUUUGCAUACCUAACAAUGGCCAUGCUCCCACUUAGCUCCAUAGUCAAAACAUUGGCCCAAUUUCAUGUCUUUUAAGCACUUUGUGAAUUGGAUGGUGGGACUAAAGAAGGUGCCAACUUAAUUGGAGUCAAAGAAUUGCCAUUGCCUAGUCUGCCCAACCCUGAUUCUCUAGAAAGUGUCCUUGGUUGAAGGUGAGGCCACUCUUGGUGCAACCAGCUCAUAGUCUCUCACUCCUUAUACUUGAGGUCUAUAUUCAAAGUUAGUUGUAUGGCUUGGUGAACCAAUGAAGGUGCCAAUUGUGCAAUAUCAGCUCCCAUUGAAGUCAAUAACACUGCAACAUAUCACUGAACCAAAGCUGAUUCCAGAAUGUUGUCAACUCCAAACUUAGCUUGUACCCAAUUGAAUGUUUGGAGAGUUGCAUUUUAGGAUUGCAGUAGAGGUCACAAAGCUUGUUGAAGGGAAAAUCCUGGACAAUAAACAAAAUGAACUCCUUCAUGAGCAUGACUUUGAAUGUUUCCCAAUUUGGAAAUAUUUGUGCACACUCCAGGCUACCAUACCACUCUGAGGCUAAGUCUGUGAGAUAGUUAGUAAUAAGUGGAACUUUCUCCACAUCAUGAGGCUCCUGCAUGAUGAAGUUGCACUUGUGCCUUCUAAUCCAGUUGAGUAGUUUAUGGCAAUCAUUCUCCCCACUACAUCUCAGUAGCUGACAUUUGUCCUUGUUCCACUUGGAUGAAGACAAGAAUGGUGUUCUACCUAGUAGUCCUUGGCUCUUGGAUGAAAAGGAAGGUGGACUUAGCUCCACAAGAUCCUCCAUCUUCAUCCUAGCCCAUAAAUUUUUGUACCAUGGUCUAAAGUGUUGCUCAGAAAAGAGUUUUGUUUGUUCUUCCCACUAAUGAGGAAUCUUUGGAAAAGCUCCUCCAGUUCUCUAUGUCGAAGAAGCUGACUGUUGCUCUUCCAUUUUGGACUCCAAGAUCUAUUGCCUUUCAGCCAUAUCUUGCAAGAUCAUUGCCCCCUUGCUCUAUUUCUCCACUAGCAUGCAAAUCUCAGCUUACAUGUCACAGAAAUUGGCCAAAACUCAUUGUUGCUAAAGGAGAUUUUGUUCUGCCAUGACUUGCAUGGUUAGCUAUUAGAGAACUGCCAAUGUGCCGGUCGCAUUCUUGUUGUCAGCUAUGCUGUGUACCUGAUCAUCAUAUUCUUGCUCCAACUCUUCAUCUUCCAUAACUUGCUGCUGUUUUGGGUGCCUAGUUACAAACUUGGCUAGAGGUGAUGGUGAAGCCAUCCAACCACCAAACCUAUUUCUCUAACUCACCCAAAGCCAUGCUAAUAGAAGAAAUGGUGAUUCUUGGACAAAGUCUGUCCCAAUCUAUUCAAGGAACUAAUUGAAGACAACAUCCACUAUCAUUCCCGGUACAAUUAUCCCUUUUAGGAUCCUCUUCACAUGGUGUUGUGUGUUUCAUGAUGAAAGCCCAUUACCCAAAGUAGAAGAAGGCUUAGGGAUGAAUGCUCCAAUACCACUAUAGAGAUCCAAAUAGAUCUCAUGAGUUGUAAUGAAUUGAAUCAUGAGAAAUAUAAGGAAAGAGAUAAGAAAACAAAAAAGAAAGAGGAAGAGAGAAAGAAAUGUGAUUAAAACCCUAGCUUCCGUCAUAUGCUUCCUGCCACCUUGCCAUACAUAAUCACUUCAUCAGACAUACCAGCCUCAAGCUUUGCCUCCACUUUGCCUCUGCAAAUCACCUCCUAACAGUAAUCCUUUCCUCCUCCAUAUAGUCACUUGGAAUGUGGCUAAGUAGCAUUUCAAACCAAUUGAUAUACUCAUCAAUCAAAUUGCCUUUCCUCUGCUGUAAAUGUUGUAGCUCAUGCCAAGCAUAUGAAGAAUUGUAGAGAGGCACAAACUCUUGCUUAAAAGCUACUAAAAACUCAUCUAUGGAGAUAAGUGGUCUCUUCAUGGUGCUUGUUUGCUGGACUAGAAACCAUGUGUCAAGAAACCAUUGCCUUGAUGAACUUCCCUUUACCAGGCUAUAUUAGAACAUAAGGAAAGGAUUUUAUACAAGAAAAAGAGAGGAGAAAAUGAAGGAGGGAAAGAAAAAAACUUACCUUCUUGCAAAGGAAACAAACCUAUGAUCAUAUUCCCUCUGUGGCAUGCCACAGGUACAUAUGGGGCUGGAAAGCCAGCCCAUAUCACCUAGGCACUGAAAAACACUCACCAAGACUAGUGUAUAGAGACACCUCUCUUGGAAAAGCCAUGUAUAUCUCAACCCUAAGUACAAACUUUAUAUAUAUAAGAAUAUACCAAUCUCACUAUGCAAUCCAUCUCUUUUUUUUUGUCUUUUACUUUCUUAUUUUUCUUUGUUGGUUUUUGAGCAGGAUUAUGAAAUAUAAACCACAAUGAAGGGCCAUUCAUUUGGUCAUUCCAAAAUCACAAUAUCUGAUGCUUCACAAAUAACUCUAAAUUUGUUUACAAGAUGGUAAGAAGUGGUUGAUGAUUCCUUGGAGGGGGAGGCCACACUCUUCCCAUGGACUUGUUUUGUCCAUAGUUGAAUUAUACUCUAAAAAUCAAUAUAAAAAUGAAGCUUAGUGUAAGUACUUAUAAAAGUACAUUUAUAAAUAAAUAAAUAUAUAUAUAUAUAUAUAUAUAUAUAUAUAUAUAUAUAUAUAUAUAUAUAUAUAUAUAUAUAUAUAUAUAUAUAUAUAUAUAUAUAUAUAUAUAUAUAUAUAUAUAUAUAUAUAUAUAUAUAUAUAUCGAUAUAUGAAUAUUUUUAAUUUAAUUUUUAAAAGGAAAUCUACAUAAUACACUACCAUUUAGCAAUAUUGAGGGCAUAAUUUUAUAAACAUUGAAAUAAUAUUAAAAAACACAUAUUAUCUGUUGUUUUAAUAUUAAAUAUGAAGUUUUUAUUAGAGAUUUGGGAUAAUCAUAACCAUUGAUAAUAAUACAUGUUUAAGAUCAGAAAGUUUUUGAAUCUAUCUAAACACAAAGUUUUCUUUUGAAUAAUAAUCAUUCUGAGUAAAACGGUACAGAAAAUUAGAAAUAAAAAUAGUAGAAAAAAUAUCAGCUAAAACAUUUUCCAUGUGGCAGCUAAAACUUUGCAAUCUAUUUAUUAUUAACUUAAAUGAAUACUAUUAAAUUAAACCAAGAAUACUUUCUUAUUUUAGUUGUUUACACAUCUUGAUAUCAUGGGCUACAAAAUUUUUACAAAUAUUUUAAAUUAAACUAUUUUAAAAGUAAACUAUCUAAAAUAACAUUAUGGUGAUUUAGUCCAAAAUUGUAAAUAAAAAUUAUGUCAUCUUAUAAACAGCUAUCGAUAAUUCCAUUAGCAUUAAGAUUAUAGUAAAAAAGAAAAAUUAGUAUAAUUAAAUUAUGGAAAAUGUGACUUGGAAAACAUAUAAUAACAGAUUUAAUAGACACCUCUACCUUGGGAUCUUUUAUAUAUUUAAAAAACAAUCACAGGUGUUAUACCUAAGGAGGAGCUAAAGCCCCUCCAAAAAAUCACAUCACAGGGGUGGCCCCGGCAAAUAUUUUGCAAAAAACAAUCUCGGAUUUGUUAGGUUUAAAAUUCUGCAUGGCCAAUCUCGUGCCUGCCACGUGGCAGGCAUUCAAUGGGUGACACUCUGUGUUCAAGAGAUUCCUAUGCACGUGGAGCUUUAGUGACCGCCAACCGGCCGACGGUGGUGAUGCACCGAAAUCUGUCUAUAGUCUUUGUAGGGAGAACCACGGCUCUCACUGCUAGGGCUCUGGGUAUGUGCCAGAGAUCCAUCCUGUGUGUGGAGGCGGUGACCUCGCGCUACUAGGGCUUUGGCUCAAUCAGAUCUACGAGCGAGUGCCUGCAUUGAGGAUGGCGGCCAUGCAUCUUCAACUUCAGGCCUCGGCCCAAAUUUCGGUGAGUUUUCCAGUUUUUUCUCAUCUGCAUGCAGCUGAAUCGAUCAAUUUGCGCAGAGCUCAGACAGGAUUUUGGCUAGCCCCUUCAAGAGCUCCGGCUUUUGUCGAUUGCGAAGCCCGCGCAGUCAGAUCUUGGUACUGACACGCACAUUCUUUUGUGCUUUUCCUGGCUUUCCAUGUUUGAAUUGUUUUUGGCUUGUUUUUUCCCCAGGAUGUGUCGGUGAAUCCCAAGAAACGAGGAGUCGGCGUACGUGCUGUGGCUGUACCCAUUCGGGAGGAAGUGCAGACCUCCAUUCCUGG